UUCGUGGAGGAGGCCGUCGGGCUGUGUGUGGGGUUGGCGUGGGGGCCCAGGACGCCCCACCUCGGCACCCGAGCAAAGGGCCCCAGGGAGCUCGGGGCCACUGUCCGGGCUCUCUUUGCCUGGCGACGGCGGCUCCAGGGCACCUCCCAGGGGCUGAGGGCCUUUCCAGCUUCCCUUUAUAUGCAGCACCCCGAAAUAUGCGUUGCUCCUCGCUCUUGCUGCUCCCGAGGAGCCCGUGACUUUCCUUCACGACGUUUGGACUCCCAAGACGGCUUUCUUUCUUUCUUUUUUUGGCAGGACUACUUGCCUCCUUCACUGAGCCUGUCUUCAGGGUUUCUCUUUCCUGUUUGCUGUCUCUUGAUUUAGGGACUCAGGGUAGAAAUUCCUGAUAGGGAAUCCUUUCUUCCUUUCUUGAGACAUGCCCCCCAUUCCCUACACUCACAAUGCUUCUUGAACUGAGGUAACUCAAGCGUCCUCCUUUAUCCCUAAUUCCUUUCUAUAUUAGGAAGAAAGUAGUCUGCUCAGGGCCCUUCUAAUAAAGAGCUGUGUGUUUCAAAUCAGAGAUUCCUGUUAAGCUUUCUGGUUCUUGGAAGAACCUUCCUGUUUUUUACUGACAAAGCCUAACCCACCUAUGGUUGUGUGCGGUGAGGACCCCCAGGCCCUCUAGCCAGCCACCCUCCAUAUUGUGGAUCUGACAGCUGGGAGAAAGAGAAAGAAGAGCUCCCCACUCUCCUGUACUGUCCACCAAGCAGAACCCUCUCUGUGAGGGUAAGCUGCCGGGGUACUGGUCGCUGUGAUCUUGCCAAGUGACACCCUUUAUUUCCUGCCACCCCCUCAACUUUGUACAUUCGAGGUUGCAGUGGGAAAGCUAUAACUGAUAAGAGCCCUUAAGGCAGUGGUUUUGGUUGGAAUCCAGACUGAUUAUUUCAUGGCCAGCUGGAGAAAUUCGCGAAGGUUCCCGAGACAAAUCGAGGAAUUUUUUUUGGAGGGCUAAUUUAGAAAGAGAGAAGCCCAGUGUUCUGAAUAGCUAAUCCCUAGGGAGGGGAGGGGGAAGGGAGUAGGGGGACGGUAGUGUGUGAAAGGCAGUUAAAAAGUCCUGUCUCCUGUUUCUUUCGGCCUCACCCCCAUCCCCCCACCAUUUCCCCCUGUUGCAGGGUUUUGUUUAUAUAACUCAAGUUGUUUGGCUAGAUUUUUCAGGUGAAUAUGUUUUUUCCUUUUUUUUGUUACUGUUUUUGAUGGAUUGUUUUACUUUUUUGUAGGCAUCGAUUAGUAUGAUCAAGUACGGAAUUUGCUAGAGUUUUUAAAAAGUAGUUUUUGCAUAUGGUUUGAAAGUGGGGGAUGGGAGGGAAGGUGCCUGAAUGAGAGAUUUUUUUUUUUCAUAAUCUUUUCAGGAAUACCAAGGUGUUUUUCUUCUUAUUCAGCCAAUACUUGGCUAGGAAUUAGGGAUAAUAGAUAAACUUCUAAAUUUAGGGUUUGGAGUUUAGAAUUUCUAGGGGAUAGUGGCAGGGAUUAGAGGAGAGCAAGAAUAAAGUAUGUGUACCAAAUGUAUGUCUAUGCACAAGUGAAAUCAAUCUUUAUGAGCUGUUUGUGGCUGUGAUUGUUUUGUAAAUGUGUGAAAGAUGUCAAUAAUGUUGAUUUUUUUAUAAGGAAAACUUAUAAAUAUGUAUAUUUUACACAAAGCAGUUUCAGGUUUUAUUUUUGUUUAGAAACUAGGAAAUGACAUCGUGGUAGACUCUUGAGUUAUUUUUGUCUUGGAUUGAGAGUUACUGUCACACCUAAUGCAAAUUUCUACUUAAUGUGUAAUUGGGAUAGAGUGAAGGGAGAAUUCCAGCUGUUUUUGAUUGAUGUCAGAUCUUCCAAUUAUGUACAUAUACAGAUUUCUAAAAGAUGGAGGAUAAAGAGUGAGGCCUAACUUGACCUGAUGCCUUUUCCAUACAGUGCCUUUUGUUCAUUUAGUAGUUGUGGCAUCUAGAAUGAUUACCGCAUUUAGGAGAUGGGGGUGGGGGGUGGAGAGAGAGAGAGGAAAACAGACAAAGAACAGCAGGGUGUCUUUUUUUCCCUCCCCCUAAGUGGCUUAUUUCAUAGCUUAUUUUUAGUAGAAGAUGAAGAAAGGCAAAGAUCCAUUGGCCUUCUGUUCGUUCCCUACCUUCCUUCUUGCUGACAAAAGAAAACAGAGACGCUUUAAAAUUGUAGAUCUCUAAGAUAGGAGGUUAAGAGUUUCAGGAUUUAAGACAGGUUAUCUUUUUUCAUGUUUAUUAUUUCCUGGUCAGAUGUAGUUCAGCAGUUAAAAAUUUUCAGAUUUCCUUUUGUUGUGUGUGUAUGUGUUGUGUCGUGGGGAUGAGAGAUUUUUGUGGCCUCCUUUUUCUGUGGAAUUCAUAUCAGGAGGCCCAAGUGGGGCCCACACAUUUUAAGUGAGGUAUAUUUUGUAAGAAAUUUAAGAGAAAAUUCCCUAACCCACUACUAGAAUGAGUACAAUUGUGUGAAAGGACCGAGGGUUGAAAAUGAAAGAUGGUGGAGAGGAAGUAGAAAGGAAGGUCUGAAGGAAUGUACAGUACUUCUUGUCCCUCGUUGCCCCUGAUGAUUUUCGUGGUGUGGAGGCUGAUAGCCGGUUUCAUUGCAGUCUCCUGUUUCAGCCCAUUUUUGGCUGUCUCCUGAGUAUAAUUAUACCACCACGAUUUACAGCUUGGCAGGGAACCCAUAUAGUAGGAAAGUAGCGGUGUGGGGGUAGGGAGAGAAGAGGAUGUGCAACUAAUUGGCCACUGCCUUCCACCACCUUGCUAGGUUCCUCCCAGCACUGUCUGUGGUUGUUGUUUGGAGUCAGUGAUAUUUCUUUUGUGACCGGUUGGUAGGAGGAGAGCUGACUCCCAAGUUAUGCAGGGAGUGAGUGUUUUGCACUGAUGCACUUAAUAAUCUGCUGGGCGAUUAUGUUCUGAAACUGUGACUCACUCAUUGUUUCUCUUCUAAAUCUUCUGUUGAGGGUUGUGCAAACCUCCCCAGGAGCCUAGAAACUGAUUUACAUGACUUUUGGGUGCUGUAGGAAUGUGUCCCAAUUUAAAAAAACCCCAAAACAAACACUGUGGAAUAGUCUUGGAUAGUGUGGCCAUUUGUUUGCAGAGUCAGGUAAAUGGUGAUCCUGUGUCGCUCCCAGCACAGCAACCUUUGAGGUUUCCAUCUCUAACCCGCUGAUUAUUGAGAUUGUCUGAGAACUGGGACUCCAGUGACCUUAAAGCGUGAUUUGCCCUAAAGGAAUAUCGGUUUAAGUUCUUCCCAGUGGAGGAACAAACAGCUCAGAUUACACAGGUUCCCUUGGUGGGGGUUGCUAGUCUCACCCUGUUGCACAGCCCUGGUGAUCCUUUUAUCUGUGAACCAGUGGCCCCUGCUGAAGGCUAGAGCUGCUUGUUUUGGAAAAGCGUAAGCAGGCAAAAGGCCGCAGGCACAGCUCCUUGCAGCUCAUUGGCUGCUCUGUUACUACCCGGAAAAGGAGGAGGGGUGGAGCUACUAAACAGCUGAUAGAGUGUGUGACAAGAGUGUGUUUACAUAUAAAAGAAGUAGGGGUUGGGGAGGCCUAGAGAACAGCAUUAAUGGACUCAGUGGAGAAAGAAAAACUUGACCUGUUGGAGUACAAUAAAUGGUGAAGGAAAUUAAGGUUAAAGUAGAAAAAGGGGUCUGGUAAUAAUGGGGCCUUGGCAUAUAUACCGUAUUUGUUAUUGUAAGAUUUGGAAAUUUACAAUACCAAGAGUUUUCAGCAAUUUUUAGAGGGAGGGAGCAAGUGGAAGAACAAGACAGGAUAUGUCACUUUAAUUGUACUUGACUGACUCAUAAGCAGGGAUUCAAAAGUAUGGUUAAAAUGUAAGCUUUCCUCUUGAAAGCUUCCACAGUGAAAGAAAGGGGUAGUGUCUUCCAUUCACUAGCAAUAUGAGUGAAUCUUAUAAAAUCACUGGUGGCUGCUUUACAGUUUCUGUUUGGUACUGGGGAUUCAACCCAGGGCCUUCAUGCUGAGCUACAUCUCAGCCCUUUUUAAUUUAUUUUUAUUUUUUAUUUUGAGGCAGAGUCCCACUGAGACGCCAGGAUGCUGAGGCUGGGCUCAAACUUGGAAUCCCUCAAACUUGGAAUCCCAGAGGGCUAGAAUUAACAAGCAUGUGUUACCAUGCCUGGCCAUGGUUUCUUUUUUUUUUAAUCAGUACCAAGGAUCAAACUCACGACUGCCUGCUGCAAGGCAGGUGCUUAUGCCACUGAGCUAAAUCCUCAGCCCCUGGCCAUGGUUUCUAUAACAUAGUGACUGCCUCAAAUAUUUGAUCACCUUCUGGCAAGGCACUGUAUUGGGGGUCUAGUGGUGAAUUCAAUGUCCUGAUAAUUGUGGAAUUAGACCAACAACAACAAACAUAGGAGACUUGAGACAGGAUCUCCCCAUGUGACCCAGGGUGGACUUGGAACAACUGAACAAAUUUUUCUUUUUAAUCAGGAAAGCCAUUCUGUGUUGUGUCAGAUCAGCACUCUGUCCACCACCCUCCUUUUUUGAGUAGUUUGUAUUUGUGUUGAGAAUUGACUUUUCAAUAAAUGAAAGCUUAGAGGUUUGGCAUGUAGCUCAGUACUAAAUUGCUUGGUAGCCAUCCUCAAGGCCUUGGGUUUAGUUUCCAGUCUACACAUGCAUGCUCACAUGCACGUAUAUAAGAAAAAGGUUGAAAAGUGAUGGGAAAGGAAUUUGUAUUUCUUUUAUUUAAAAUAACAGAUAUUAAGUAUGCUGGCACACACCUGUAAAUCCCAGGACUCCCAGCACAUGGGAGGUUGAGGAAUGAGGAGGAUGCUGAAGCAGGAGAAAGAUACUGAGACAGGAGGAUUAGCAAGAGUCCAAGGCUGGUCUAGGCUAAAUAGUUCAAGGCUAGCUGAACUCCAUAGUGAGACCAUAUUUGGAAAACAGACUGUGGUGCAUGCCUGUAAUCCUAGCACUUAGGAGACUGAAACAAGAAGAUCACUGCAAAUUCAAGGCCAGCCUGAACUAUAAAACAAUACUGUCUCAAAAACAAAAUAAGAAAAACCCAGAAACACAAAAUAGGUGCUUAAAAAAUGGAAACAAAAACAUUAAAAUGUAUAGACAUUUGUUUUCGAUUCAGCCUUUAUAUUUUGCUGUUUUUUUCAGGGUUUUGCUAGGUCAAGUUAGUCUUGAAACUGUGUAGCCCAGGCUGAGGCAGUCCUGUAUGCUGGGAUUAUGGCAUGUACCUCUCAGCUGGUAUCUUGCAGUUAAUCAGUAGUUAUUCUAUGCCUGAGUUAGUAGGCUUUGUUACUCUUUAAUUCAUGUUCAAAGUAUGGACAAUUCUGUAAUCUUUUAACUAGCUCCAAUGUCUACUAGAAACCUGUAGUUUGCAUUUUAUUUCCUGUGGCCUUUCAGUGAGAUGGUAAGAUGAACAUUGAAACAGUUUUAUGAUGUUCAAACUAAAAGUUAAAGAUUGGACAACUUUCAGUGUUCCUAAUUUGCCUUGUCCACCUAGAUUUUGGUGAAAAAUAUACCGGUACUUAUUUUGAUUAGAUAAGAACCUGAAUGAGCAAAGCAUUCACAGCUUCAGCACAUCUGAUUCGUGCAGUGCAGUUCUAAUAAAUUACAAGCCUAAAGAUUAAGCUUUUAGGGGAAAACUUUUGUAAAUGUGACCUAUAAAUGUCUCUUUUCCUAAUUGUGUGCAUGUGUUGAAAGAACCUACAUUUGUUGGUUUUUCUUUUCUUUUUUUUGGUACGGGGAAUCACAACUUUGUGGUACGAGGCAGAUGCUGUGCCACUGAGUUGUCUCCCCAGACCAAGUUUUAUGGUGAUACAGUUUUCCUAGCAUCUUGACUGGUAUGUAUGUAUAUGUGUAUUUAUUUUUUAAAUUAAAUUUGGCAUCUUGUUCAGUGUCAGCAUAUUUGAUGAUUCUAAGAACCACUGGAUUUUUUACGUAUGUGUUAUGUUUUGUUUCUAGAUGUCCCCCAAAGUCUCAUUUGGUCAUAGGUGAGGCUUUUUCAGAGGUGGCUGAAUUUAGAGUCUGUGGAAUUAAGGGUGGGUGAUUACUAAAUCAGUCCACUGAUUGUUUUUACAUCACCCUAAACCUGGUAGUCUAGAUAAAAUAUGAAAAGGGCAGAAACAAGCUGCUGAGGUCCCUUGCUUGCUUUGCCACCUUCUACUCACCAUAAACUGUUUCUCCUCUGUAAUGUUUAUGUGCUACACCACCCUGCCUUGGAGCCAGCAAACUAUGGAUUGAAACCUAUACAAACUUUGAGCCAAAUAAACCUUUCUUCCUUUAUCUUUGGGUGUAGGGUAUUUUGUCUUAGUAAAGAGAAAAGUAACUACAAAAGCAUGCAAUUCAGAUCUUAUAUUACAGUGCUUACAAUGUAAUAGCUUUCUACCUUGGAUGCAUAGAGUGUAUGUCCUAAAAUUAUUUAAUGAAAAGACUUAGUUGCACUGUAAAAGUAAUAAGGUAAUUAAGAAAAAUAGAGGUUGCAAAGAGGGAAAAAUAAUAGUCAUCUAUAAUCCUACCCUUUAAACAGUAGUUCUUAAACUUUAGUGACCUUAAUUACUUGAAGGGUUUGUUAAUACAGAGCACUGUAUAUCACUAGAGUUUUCUGAUUCAGUAGGUUUAGAGUAGGGUUGGAAAAUUUGGCUCUCAUGUGCCACCACAUCAGGUGUGUGUUCAUUUUUUUGAGAUAGGAUCUCACUGUGUCAUUCAGGCUACUCACUAAGUAGCCCAGGUUGCCCUUGAAUUCCUGGUGACCUUCCAGCCUCAGUCCCCUGAAUGUGGAGAUUACAGGCAUUACCAGCUGAUUUGUCUUUUUUUUUUUUUUUGUCUUUUUGAGACAGGGUUUCACUAUGCAAUUCAGGCUGGCCUUGAACUCACUUUGUAGCCCAGGGUGGCCUUGAACUCCCAGUGAUACUCCUGCCUCAACCUUAUGAGUGGUGAUAUUACAGACAAGGUGUCACUGGGUAGCCCAGGCUGGCCUUGAACUCAGUGGUGAUGACAGGCAUGUGCCACCACACCUGGCCCCACACAUCUUCGGACAGAAAAUGUGCCUGGAUCCUUCACAGUAUUUUAUGUUCAAGCUGAAUUAAAAGCAAUAGGACAGCCAACACAUUUUUUCUUAAGAGUUUGAAAAGUAUGCUUGAUCUGUUAUAUUUAGUACAGUUUGGCAAUUAACAGCAAAUUUGAACUUGCUUAAGCUUAAAAAAAAAAAAAAAUAUAUAUAUAUAUAUAUAUAUAUAUAGUAGUUUAUUACUUUUGAUAUUUAUCUUUUCAAUGUGAAAACAGCAUGUGAAUGAAGCCUUAAAUUCCACUUGAACUAUGUCCAUGAAUUCAGACAUAGUGGAACUUGGUACCUGAAUUAUAUGUUGAUAUUCCUUAGAGGUCCUCAGCUUCAUUUGCUGCUGAAGAAUUUCUUGUUUCUAAAUUAGUUUUAUAGAGUCUGUGAGAUUUAGAGGCUACCAGCUCUGUUCUUUUAGUCUUUAAAGUCGGAAACCUCGAGGUCUCCGUCACCUGAGUUCCUUCUCACCCUUCUAGGCAAAGUGGAAGGAAAUAACCUCCUGUUCCUAAUAGAGCUAAUUCCUGGACUUAAGUUUUAACCCUUUUGCACCUUAUAAUUGAAAAAUGGCUUAUGAAAUACUUUGUCUACUUGUGUUUAUGUUCUUUUCAGCUGUGUUGAGGAGUGACCUCAGGCCUUGCUCUGUGCUAGGCAGUCUGCCACUGAGAUAUUCCUAGCUGUUAUUCUUCCUUUUUUUGGUGACCUUGUGUAUGUACUUAAAGCUGUUGAACUGGGUUAUUUUUUUGUUUUGUUUUGUCUUUUGUUUUGAGAAAGGGUCUUGCCAUUUCAGGCUGGCCUUGAAUUUACUAUGUAGUCUAAGUUGGCCUUAAACUCUGCAGCAGUCCUCCUGUCUCAGCCUCCCAAGUGCUGAGAUUAUAGGUAAGUGCUGGGAUUACAGACAUGUGCCACCAGUGGCUGGAUUAAUUUAAUUGAUACACAGGUCUUUCAGUUUAAUGAGAAAUAGAAUCUGUUUUAUAUAGUCAGAAAUUAGUAUAUGACUUUAUGCUUUUAAAUAUUAAUUAAUUAUUUAUUGCUUUUUGCAGUAGGGUUCACUGUGGAAUUCAGGCUGGCCUUCAACUCAUUUUGUAGCUCAGUGACCUGGAACUCAACAGCAGUCUUCCUUUUUUUUUUUUUUUUCUGGUACUGGGGAUCGAACUCACGACCUUGAGUUUGUAAGGCAGGCGCUUAUGCCAUUGAGCCAAAUCCCUGGCCCACAGCAAUCCUUGUACCUCAGCCUCCUGAGUGCUGAGAUUACAGACAUCACCAUGUCUGGUGAUUUGUAUGCUUUUAAAUUGGAGACCUACUACUCAUUUGAAUGAAUGGCAUAAAAUGUAAUGAUUUUAGUCUGCUGGUUCUGGCUGUUUUAUUUCUUAAAUGUCAUUCUUAAAAUGUUUUGUCAGCUCUGAUGUUCUGAUGACAUCUCAUUUAGAGUUAAAUUUUAGUAGGUCUUAUGCUCAUGUAGAUUUUAGCGUGUUUUUAUACUUGUAAGAAGCCUGGGCUGCCGAUAAUAGUAUCACAAUACAGUGGUUGCUUUCUGAGUAUAAAGGCUUUUAGAGUGGAAGUUAAUGAUUAUAUUCUCCAUAGGCUCUAUUACUUUGACUUUUAGUAGCAGUUAGAAACUGUAAUGCUUGGCUUUACUGGGUCAGAUUAGGAGAAUAAGCUCUAGUAACUUCAUUUUUAUUGAUAAAAAAAUAGAGGUCGGGGCUGGGGAUUUAGCUUAGUGGCAUAAGCACCUGACUUGCAAGCAGGCAGUUGUGAGUUUGAUCCCUGGUACCGAUAAAAAAGAAAAAGACAAAAAAAAAAAAAAAAAAUAGAGGUCAAGGUUAAAAUUAGUCUACUCAUUAUAUAUGACUAAAAUUAGUUUUAUGAGUUAGGCCAUUUUUGUGAAAACUAGAAUUAAAACAUGACCUAAUAAUGCCUUAAUCAUAUUUGAAUAUCAGAUGAUAAGGAAAAUUAUGUAGUUUUGAUAUGAUAUGUUUUAGAAUAUGUUUUCAAUAAAUUAGGUGAUGUAUUGAAUUGUAUUUUUUGGUUUUUCUUUUUCUUUUUUUUUGUCUUUUUCCUUUUUUAUCGGUACCAGGGAUUGAACUCACGACUGCCUGCUUGCAAGGCAGGUCCUUAUGCCGCUGAGCUAAAUCCCCAGUCCCCUUUCUUUCUUUUUUUGAGACAGGGUCUUGCUAUAUAGUCCCAGCUGCCUUUGAAUUUGUAGUUGUAGUCCUUCUGUCUUAGCUUCCUGAGUGCUGGGACUACAGGUGUGUGCCGCCACCCUGGGCCUUAGUUGCAUCUUUUUUUUUUUUAACUAGGAAGUGAACUCAGGGCCUUGCACUUGCUAGGCAGGCCUCUUGUGCCACUGAACUAUCUCCUUAGCUGUUUAGUUGCAUCUUUAGUGUUGUUUGAACGCUUGUCUAUAGUGAGCCAGCUUUGGUUUUGUUAAGGUAAUUUUAAUUUAGUCUUAAGAUGGUUAAGCAUAUAUUAAAAAGUUGCUCUUUUAAAAGUUGGAAUGGGAAUGGAUAAAAAAGGUAUGGUAUUUUUAUACAAUGGAGUACUACUCAUCUAUAAAGAAUGAUCACAUUGAGAUAUUUCUAAGUAAGUGUAUGCAACUUGAGACCAUACUUAUAAGUGAAAUAAAUAAAACUCACAUGAGUAAAUACCAUUGUCUUCCUAUUAUAAGAAAUGGUAAGAGUACAUACGAUACAAAAUCCUCAAUAAAUACAGUGAAAGCAUAAGAGUCUGCUCAAAGGGGGAAAAAAUAAUAUCUCAGGGAAAAGGAAAAAGAGAAAGGGAAAAGAAAAAAAAGUACAUUUAUAUAAACACACUUAGGAUAGCCAAGAUGAUUGUGCCACAAAUUCUAUAUAAGAUGAUAGAACAAAGCAGUUAAUAUUCAUAGGAUUGGAAUAAUUUUGCAUGUUUGUGUCUAGUGACCUUAGGAGCUCUUGAAGAUCACACUGUAAAAUAACUAUCUUAGUUAUAUUCCUACCAUCUUGUUUUGAAGGCCUGUGUCAUCAUUGCUCUAUUUAUUUAUGUGUCUUUUUUGUUUCUUAUUUUUCUAGUAAUCUGGUUUUUGUUUUGUUUUUCCCUCUAAUGUAGAAAGGAUAGAUAUACAUGUAUUGGCUUAUAUGUGUGUAGAACAUCUCCUAAACAGUUUAUGAGAAUUGAUUGUUAUGUGUGAUGCAAUGAACAGCUACUUUGAAGAAAAACAUACAUGGUAUCCAUUGCUGAUUCCAUAUUGUUAUGCUGUGAAAUCUGUUUCAGUAACGCUUCUGUUCUUUGUUCAGAGUGGUUUUAGUCUGUUCUGUAUUGUUUAAUUUCAACAUACAUGACGGUGUGGCAGGUCUUUUGAAGAGAGCAAGAGACAUUAUGGCAGCCAUUGUUAAUUUUCCUAUUGUCUGGUUUUCAAGGCCUGUAAUGCCUUCAUUUCUCUGUUCUGAUCAGUUUUAUACUAUUUUGUUCCUGUACUUCAGCCAGUUUCAUUUACCUAUUUUAUGACUGUGAUACAUUUGUCAAAACUAAGAAACCAACAUUAGCCUGUUAGUGUAAACUCCAGCCUCUUAAGAUUUCACCUGUUUUUUUCAUGCCACAUGUAUUCUGUUCUAGAAUUAAAUUCAUGAUUCUACCUUGCUUUUAGUUAUCCUGUUUCCUUAGUCUUCUCCAGUCUGCAAUGGUGUCUCGUUCUUGUCUUAUAUGACCUUGAUAUAUUUUGAAAUACUAGUCAGACACUUUAAGCCCAUUGAUUUUGUGUGUCCUCCCCAUCCCUUCUCCUUUCCCCCUCCCCUCCCCAUCCCCUCCUUUUUACAAGGAGGAGAAAUUUGUUUUUGCUUAUUCACAGUCUUGUCUUACAUGACCUUGACAUAUUUUGAAAUACUGGUCGGAUACUUUCUGCCCAUUCCUUGUAUUCCUUUUGUCUUGUCUUCCCCUGCCCUCUCCUCCUCUCCCCCUCCGUCUUCAAAGGAGGAGAGGUUUGUUUUUACUUUUUCAGGGUUUUCUGAUUGCCCUACCCCCUUCAUGAUUAGAUCUCAUAAUAAUGAGGUGAAGAUUUUACAUACUGCAUUGUAGAAUUUGGGGGAGGCUAACAUAUGAAGUACCCCUCUUGGCCUCAUUUCAACAAGUUCCCAAUAUCCAUUGGUGUUACUGACCUUGAGAGUUUGCUAGUUUUCUUCGUUGUACAGUUACUGUUUUCCCUUCUGAACUCUGCUCACUGGCAGCGCAUCACUUAAGACUAGCCCACAUUCCAAGGGACCAGUGGCAAGUCAGCUCCCCUCUUAGAGAGGAAGUAAUUUUAAAAUUAAUUUUACUGAUACAUGGAAACAAAUUGUGCAGAUUAAUGGAGAAAGAUGUUUCACUACACUAUAAUGUCUAGACUGUGUAAUGUUUAAAUUAGGUUAAAUAUAUGUUUCUUCAAAUAUCUAUCAUUUAAUGUAGGAUGAAAACAUUCAAAAUCCUUUCUUCUGGCUUUUUGAAAUGCAUAGUACUCUAUUGUUAUCUGUAGUCACUUUGUCAGGCAGUAGCACAACCAGAAUUUCCCUUCCCUAAUUUAGUCUCCAUGAAUCAAAAUUUUCUCCUUUCUCCUCCUCAUGGAUAAAGUGUGUGUGUGUGUGUGUGUGUGUGUGUCUCUGUCUGUCUCUGGGACAGGGUCUCAGUAAGUCCAGGGUCUCAGUAGUCUAGGCUGUCUUGGAAGCAGUAGUGUAAUUCAGGCUGACCUUAAGCUUGCAAUUCUCCUGCCUCAGCUUUCCAAGUGCUGAAUUACCCCAUGGUCAACUAGAUAAUUGGUUUUGACUUUUGAUUAUAACUUACCAGUGGAUUACUUUUAGUCACUAGUGGCUUUUAUACAGAAGUUACAUUUGAUUGUGAAUGAAGUGCAAAUUGAUACAGCUUUUUUGAAAGGAAAUGUGGUAUAAAUGAUGUGAUUUUUUAAAAUUUAAAAAUAAAGGCGAGUAAGCUAAAAGGACAUAACACAGGUCAGAACUGAACAAUUUAAGCAACAUAGUGUUUCACCACAAGAUAACCUGACAUAACAGUAGUUACAUUAGUGUCUCUUUCCUUGAAAUAUUUGAGUAUACCUUCAUAUACUAUAGCAUCAAAUAUAACAAGAUAGUGUAAAACCAUUCAAGAGGAUGAAAGUAUUACAGGAUAUUUAGAACCAACUAACAGAAAAUGAACAAUGGUUUCUAUAUUAUCUCGUCUAUAAAAAAAUUUUGUUUAUAUCACAUAUAAUAUCCACUAAGAUACAACAUGGUAAAACCGAUGGAGACAGAAGAACAAAAGCUUGAUGGGACUUCAAAACAAGCUGAUAUUGGGGCUGGGGAUUUAGCUCAGUGGCAUAAGCACCUGCCUUGCAAGCAGGCAGUCAUGAGUUCCAUCCCUGGUACCGAUAAAAAGGAAAAAAGACAAAACAAAACAAGCUGAUAUUAAAUCAGCACUAGCUAUUAUAAUGUCUUGUUUUCUUCCAAGUAACUGUUCAUACCAUCACAAACAGUAAAAUCAGACAAUGCAGAAUAAAAUUGUUCCAAUUAAUGAAUGAAAACAUUAUAAGGCUUCAAAACAAUAUAAUAGGGAAUCAUGAUUACCACAUACUUUUAUGUAUUCUUAGCAUUUCUUGCACUAGGAAAGCUAUUCGGUAUUUAUACUUGUGAGUUUGAUUUAUUUCGCUUAUGAGUAUGGUCUCAAGCUGUGCCCAUUUAUUUAUAAAUACCUCAAUGUUAUCAUUCUUUAUAGCUGAGUAGUACUCCAUUGUAUAAAAAUAGCACAACUUUUUUAUCCGUUCCUCAGUUGAUGGACACUUAGGUUGUUUCCAAGAUGAGGGUGUGAUUUAAGAGCACAAUUUAGGGGAAUAGCAUGACCAAUUUGAUUUACACAUUUGUCUGUGUUUAGACAUGUAGUACGUGGAGAUGGAUACAGAUUUAGAAUGAGUUGCAGAGGUUAUUAGUUAGUUCCCUCAUAACUCAAAGAUUUAUAUAGUAAUCUGGAAGAGUUAUAGACCAGACAGAGACUUGGGGGUGGUAUAGUGAUAAAUGCUGUUACGUUCUGUGUAUCUUACUAUUUUUAGUUAUAUAAUCAUCUUUUAGUAGAGCAGAAUAUAUUCUUAUCAGUUACUGAUUCUAAUGAAGGCUCAUUAUUUUUGCGCACAGAACUUGAUUCUCUUAUAAGAGUAUACUUUUAGCUGGGCAUCAUGGUGUACAUACACCUGGCCUGUAAUCUCAAUGCUCAGGUGGCUGAGUUCAAGACUAGCCUGUACUAUAUAGAGAGAGACCCUGUCUCAAAAAAUCUCACCCCCCCAAAAUGUAUUUUCCACUGUUUUGAUCUUUUUUUUUUUUUUUUUUUUUUAAAGCAGUUGUACUUGUAUUUUAAGUGAAAAUGUUGAUUUAAAUGGUAACUGGUAGUUUUAGCUAGAAGUUCAGUCAUUAUGUGUGAGAUUGGCUAGGUAGAACUUCAAUUAAAAAAUUUAUUUUUAUAUUUUAUUCUUUCAAUUUUCUUUUUCUUUUUUUGGGUAGGAUGUUGGUGUGUUGCCCAGGCUGCAUGUAAUGCCUAAGCUAAAGUCAUCUUUUUGUCUUAGCUUUUUUUUUUUUUUUGCCUCAGCUUUUGGAGUACCUGCAGCAAUAGGUGUGUACCACAAUGCCAGUUUAGUGUACUUUUUCUUUUUCUUUUUUUGUCUUUUUGCAACAGGGUCUGUCUAUGCAGUUUAGGCUGGCCUUGAGCUCACUUUGUAGCCUAGGCUGGUCUCAAGCUUGAAAUGAUCCUCCUGCCUCAGCCUCCCGAGUGCUGGGAUUACAGGUGUGAAUCAUCACGCCCAGCUAGUGUAUGUUUUCUUAACUCCAGAAUUUUCUAGGCAGUCAAAAUUACUCAUUUUAAUAAGAAAAUGUAUAAAAUGUUUGCUGGGUUUUUUUUUUUUUUUUUUUUUUUUUUAUCGGUACCAGGGAUCGAACUCCCAACCACACGCUUGCAAAGCAGGCGCUUAUGCUGCUGAACUGAAUCCCCAGCCCAUGUUUGCUGUAUUUUUAUUUUUGUUGUUUUUUCCCCAUUUUCUCCUUUCUAGAAACAAUUUUUUUGAGACAGGGUCUCGCCAUGUAGUGUAUCUCGCUUUGGCCUAAACUUGUGGCAGUUUUCCUGCCUCAGCCUCUAAAGGGUUGAGAUUACAAGUAUAUAGUACCAUACUUGGCCUGAUUUUCUUAUAUGAGCAGAAUCUUAAAGUAACUAGAGUGGAGUCAUUUCUGUUUUCCUUUUUAUUUUACGGAACUGGGGACUAAACCCAGGGGCCUCGUGUUUCCUAGGAAAGCAGUCCACCACUGAGCUGCAUCCUUAUCACAUUUUAUUUUAUUUUGACACAAGGUUUGGCUAGGUUGUCCAGGUGGGACUUGAAUUUGCAAUCCUUCUGCCUGUUUCCCAAGUAACUUGAAUUUAUAGUUAUGUACCACCAGGCCUGGCCAGAGUCUCUUGUUUUCUGGAGCAGAGUAUAUUUUAGUAGGUACUAUUAGGUAAGUGAAGUUACUGGAAAAAUAUAAUGAGAUAUUAAAUUUAGUCAAACCUAUUUGGUUUGGUUGCUAAAAAGCUAAGUCAAAGUCUCUCUCAGUCUCAGUCUCUCUUUUAGUGACUCCUUUGAGACAGGGUCUUUCUUUGUAGAUCACGCUGGCCUUGAACUCACUUACGUAGCCCAAACUGACCUGGAAUUUAAGGUAAUCCUGCUGCCUCAGCCUCUCAAGUGCUGGGAUUACAAGCAUGUGCCACUAUAUGUGCCACUAUGCCUGGCUCAAAGUACUUACCUGUUUUUUUUUUUUUUUUUUUUGUCUUUUUGAGACAGUGUUUCACUGUGCAGUUCAGGCCAGCCUUGCACCCAGGCAGGCCUUGAACUCACAGUGAUCCGAGUGCGGGGAUUAUAGGCAAGCACCACCACACCUGUCUAGUACUUACUUCUUAAAGAUUGGAAAUUGAAUUUAUUUUCAGGGGUGGGAGUGGAAUGUUAAUGAUAACAGUAUGGCUAUUGUGGCAAUAAACUCUAAUUUGAUACAAUAAAGGACAAUAAGAUUUUAUUCACAACCGGGCAUAAAAAAAUUAUUCAUUAGGACACCUGUGUUUCUGUGUAGUCUAUAAGUUAGAAGUGUAUAUAACCAGCUGUUUAUUGAUUUAGAAGUUCUGAGGGUGCAUUUUUGCACCUCUGGGUUUAAACAGUACAGCACUUGGAUGUCAUAAAAAUGCUAAGUGUCGAUUGUGUGACUUUCAAGACCAUUUUAACAGGCGUGGUAACUGGGAAAGCAUUUAGCUGAUUCUCUGAUGCUGUUCCUUCCUUUGCCCUUUUGGGCCAGUUUCAGUGAACAGAGGUAGAACUCUCAAAAAGCAGUGUUAACUUUUAAAAUAAAAUCAUUUUUAUACAUAAGAAUAUAGUUUUAAAGUUAAUAUUUUUAUUAGUACAUGCUUGCAGUACAUGAUUACAUUCAUUGUGUGGAGCUGGUACAUGUAGGUAAUAUCUGAAUUAUUUUUACAUCCCCUCACCUCCCUUCCUCUUUAUCACUUGGUGCCUUUCCAUUUCCCUGUUCCCUGUUAGCUAUCUUUUAUUUUGCUUGUUAAAUUAUUUGUACUUGGGGUUUUUUGUGUAAGAGAAACUAUGUAGUAUUUAAGCGUAGUAUUUAUGUGUCUUUUUCACCUAACAUUAUGGUCUUAAGGUGCAUCUUUUUUCCUACAAAUGAUUCAAAGUUAUCCGUCUUUAUGACAGAGUAGUACUUCAUUGUUUAAAUACCACAUUUUCCUAUUCUGUUCAUCUGUUGAUGGACAUAUAGGCUGUAGAUUUAGCUGUUUUGAGUUGUGCUGCUAUAAACAUAGAUAUUCAUGUAUCACUGAAACAUGAUGUCCUUAACUCUUGGGAGGAUACUGUACCUAGAAGAAAAUAGCUGGGUCAAAUGGAAUUUGUAUUUUUAAUUUUUUUCCCAGUCAAAUUUUAUUGGUACACUUUAGAUAUACAUAAUGAUGACAUUCAUCAUAGAGAAUUUGUAACUUUUUUCUUCCUUUUUUCCUCCAUUCCUCUAUCCUUUAUUUUUAGUUUUUUAAAAGGAUCCUCCAUAUUGAUUUCCAUAGAAUUUUUACUAAUUUAUCUUCCCACCAACAAUGUAAAAGAGUUACUGUUCCUCCAUAGCCUCACUGGCAUUUGCUAUUAGAUUUCUUGAUGAUAGCCAUUCUUUUGGGACUAAGAUAUAAUCUCAGUAUUGUUUUUCCAUUUCUGUAGUGACCAGAGAUGUUGAAUAUUCUCUCAUGUAUUAAUUGGCCUGUGUACUUCUGAGAAGUGUUUAUUUAUCUCAAUUUCCAGUUAUUAUUAUUUUUUUCUCCUGGGAAUCAAACUCAGGCGGGUGCUGUGCCUCUGAGCUGAAUCCUUGGCCCUACCUGUUCUUUUGACUGAGUUGUUCAUUGAGGGGAAAUGUGGAAAUGUAAUGUUUUGAAUUGCUUGCUUUCUUUUCUCUCCCCUCCCCUCCCCUCCUCCCCUCCCCUCCCCUCCCCUCUCCUCUCCUUUUCUUUUCUUUUCUUUCUUUGGAACUGGGGAUUGAAUUCAUGACCUCGCACUUGCCAGGCAGGCACUUAUGCCACUGAACUAAAUCCCUGGCCCUGAAUUUCUGUAUAUAUCCUACUCGUUUUUUGUUUGAGGGAUAGCUGAUAAAAACAUUUUCCCCCAUUCUGUAGGUUGUCUUUUUACUCUGUUGGUUGUUUCCUUUGGUAUGGGAUGCCUUUUAAUUUGAUAUCUUAUUUGUUUAAGCUAGAUGUUAUUUUGUGCAAUUAGAAUUCUGUUCAGAAAGUCCUUUCCUAUGCUCCUGUCUUCAAGUUUUACCUAUUUUAUCUUCCAGCAGAGUGUUUUAAUACCUAAGUCUUUCAUCCAUUUUUUGAACAAGAUUGUGCAUUGUAGUGCAAGCUGGCAUUGAGCUCUCUAUGUAGUCCAGGCUGGUUUUGAAUUCAUUGUCUCAGUCUCCUGAUGUCUCCUAAUUCCUGGGAUUAUAGGCAUGCGCCAGUCAUGCCUAGCCUAUGGUCCAUUUUGCUUUUAUUUUAAUACAUAGUGAGAGAUUUGAGUCUAGAUUAAGAGUACUGUUUUUAUAGUAUAAAAAGCUUCUCUUUUAAAGGUUUUGAAAUAUAAAAAUAUCUUUUCCAGAUCUACCAUUGACUUUAAAAACAACAACCAAAAAGUCUUAGUAGCAAGUAGGUAGGUUUUGUAUUGGUGGUCCAUUCUGUAUUUAAUUCAGCCUGUAUUUUCCCUUCAUCUUUCUUGUAUAAUGUAAUUUUAUUUAUAUUUCACAUUCAUUUUUGAGCAUCCUUGCUCUGAGAUGUUAAGGGUUGUUUUUUGGGGAUUGAAAAACCUGACCUUGUAGGUCUGUUGGAAGUGCUGAGAUGAUAGUGUCUCUCUCAACAUCUGGAGCUGACCAGGACUGCUUACACUUUCAUCCCUUAGAGUGCACAGUUAGCUCUGAAUGUGUUGCAGGUGUUAAGGAAACACCUUUUAAAUGAGACCUAGGAGAAAUUACAUAUUACAGAGUUGUCCUCAAGUCUUUGGGUCAUUCUCAGACUGGUGUUUGAAACAGCACUAGGGGUAGUGGUGGUAUAAGCUUGAAAUUCCAGCGUUCAGGAGGCUGAGGCAGGAGGGUUGCCACAAGUUCCAGGCUAGGCUGGGCUACAUAGUUCAAGGCCACUCUGCAUUACAUAGUGAGACCCUGUUUCAAUCACUCCCUCCCCCAAAAGAAAGAAACAGUGUGGAAGUUAUGCUAAAGAGGGGCAAAUCUUUUACAGAUAAUGUGGACAGUUCUCUGCAGUGCAGCUGCCAUUUGCCUUUUCAUGAACAGUGAUCAUCCUUCCAUGUGUAACACCUGCAUUUGUGUCCCAUAGUCGUCCAGUACUCAUCUUACUAAGUGCCACUUACAAAUGGUUUCUAAGACUGAUUGUCAGUUUCUAAUUUGUGUGCAUGUGCUGCGGAUGGAACCUGCAGCUAAGGUGCAUCCACGACCUUUCCUGGAGACUAUGAGGUUGGAACUUGUUUCACAGUAACUAAACACCAUUUUUGCCUUUUUGUCUGUAUUGACAUUUAUACUGUCAGUGCAAAAUCAAUCAUGUUUAAACUCUUUGAAUGCCUUACUGUGAAUGCCUAAGGCCAUGUUAGUAGUUUCUGUAUUCUUUCCCACCACAUACUUAAUUUUAAAAAGACAGUUUCAGGGGAGCCUGUCUUUAAUAAGGGUUAAAAGAUAAUGAACUUGGGGCUGAGGAUUUAGCUCAGUGGCAUAAGCGCCUGCCUUACAAGCAGGCGGUUAUGAAUUCAAUCCCUGUUACCGAUAAAAAACCGAAAAAGACAAAAAAAAAAAAAAAGAUAAACUUUUGAGCCUUGGGUGUAUGUAUUUACUAUUCUGUGCUGUGAAACGGGAUGCACCUUUGCUGCACACUGAAACUUAAGUGGUGGUUUCCAACAAAUUGACCCCAUGGCCUUUGCACGGAAUCCACAUGUCCACCUGUUUUUAAUUUGGUAGUUUUAUUUACUUAUUUAUUUGUAUUGAGACAGGAUCUCCCUGAGUAGUAGUUCAGGCCAGCCUUGAUACUGCAUUGCUUCUCUUCUUUCAGCCUUGCACUGGGGGCUGUAACUGCCACAUUCAGUCUAUUUUUUAUUUUGAGACAGGGUCUCACUAAGUAAAUUGUUCAAACUGGGUUUGAACUUGAGAUCCUCCUGCUUCACUCUCCCAAAGUGCUGAGAUUAUAGGCAUUUGUCACUUUGCCAGGCUUGAAGAUCACAUUUGGCAUUCCUGUAAUCCCAGCACUUGGGAGGCUGAGGCAGGAGGAUCAUUCAAAGUUUAUGACCAGUUUGGGCUACACAGCUCAAGGCCAGCCUGAACUACAUAGUGAGACCCUGUCUCAAAAGACAGAAAAAGAAAAUGACAUUUGUAUUUGUAAUUGUGAUUAUGGUUAUUAAAUCAUGCUUUUUUGGUGGACAUUUUCUCAAAAACUGAAUUAACUAACCUGUUGCUUCAAGGAAAACUGACAGUUGAUAGUAUAUGCUUUUAGUGAGAAAAUUUGAACUUUAAUGAAAAAUUAGGAUUUUGGAGAACUUAGGUCUUGCCACCAUGUACAUGCCAGUUUUGUAAUAGACACUUAGGACAUGUUUUUUGAUUUUGUACAAUGAAAUGUGUCACUAUUGGGAAGAUACGUGUAAGUCAGUGAACCAUUAUUUUCCUAAUGGCCAGUGUGUGAUAGGUUAUGAUACUUGGGCAAAAGACUCAUACAAAAUACAAGAUAGAACACUGAACUUUAGCAAAUUUUGGCAUGAUGGUAACAAAGUAUGUCCAGAAAAGUCUAUCAAAAUACUCUUUUUAACUGUAUUUUUAAAACAUUUCACCAGAUUGAAUAUAAAAACAUGAGAAUUUUUUCAUUAGCUGUGUAUUGAAGAGAUUUAAAGAAUGAUCGGGGGAAAGAUGCCACUUUGUAGUUUAUUCUUUUUCUUGCUGGUAUUGAGGAUUGAGUGCAGGACCUUGUGUCUGCUAGGAAAGCACUCCACCACAGAAUUAUAUCCCUAGUCUUUUUUUUUUUUUUUUUUUUUCUUUUUUGAGAGAGGCUCUCACUAGGUUGCCCAGGCUAGCCUUGAAUUUAAUAUCCUCCUGGCCUCUGCCUCCUCAGUACCUGACAUCAUACAUAUGCACUUGGCACUGAAUUGUUUUUGUUUUGGAAAUGAUUGUUUUUGAUAAAAAAUGACCUAAGUUGGCUAGGGUUAUAGGUCAGUGGCAUAGUGCCCAUCUAGCAUGUGAAAGGUCCUGAGUUCAAUUCCAGGUGCAAACCCAAAAAACAAAACAAAAAGAUGUUCAGAAGUGUAAACUUUGCUGUUACUUUUUGUGAGUGUGCAUGCAUGUGAGUGAUAUGUGGGGUAUUGCUCCUACUAGGUAAGCACUCUUCCACUGAGGUAGGUCUUAUUACUUUUUAGUAAAGUAAUAUUUUAAUUGCUAAAGUGGUAAAUAUUGACAAGUACAACAUAUAUAAAGCUCUUUAAGAUCCUGAGUUUUAGUGAUCAUGUACAGGCUAGUGAGACUAGAAGUUUGACAGGCAUUACUCUAUAAAGUGUUGAGUUGUCAGGUGGUGGUAAAGUCUGUGAGUUGCUUUAAUUGUGCUCAACAUAAUGUCUAGGGGCUGGGGAUUUAGCUCAGUGGCAUAAGCACCUGCCUUGCAAGCAGGCAGUCGUGAGUUCGAUCCCCGGUACCGAUAAAAAAAGAAAAAGACAAAAAAAAAAAAAAAAAACAUAAUGUCUAGACUAUUACAGAUUCUUUAAUAAAAUAUUUGAAUUAGAUUGAAUUGUAUAGUAAAUGAUGAAAAUACACAUUGAACCUAGGAGAAAACAUGGUGGUGUUAUAUAAAAGAUGAGAAUCUUUUUUUUUUUUGGUCUUUUUGAGACUGUGCAGUUUAGGUUGGCCUUGAGCUUGCUUUGUAGCCCUGUCUGGUCUUAAAACUUGGCAAUAGUCUUCCUGCCUCGGCCUCCUGAGUGCUGGGAUUAUAGGCGUGUGCCACCAUGCCCUGCUGACAAGCAUUUUUCACCUAGUAAACAGUGUCACAUUCGCAUUGUAUUUUCUAAAUUCUCAAGAUAGUUUUUUCUACAUUUUAACAUCUUUGAAAUUGAGAUGUUUUAAAAUUGGUGGUGAGUCACUUUGAUGUAGCUUUUUUCUUCCUUGUGUCAUAAAAUGAUGGUGUGUUGUACAUGUAAUGAAAUAAGUAUCUUUUAUGUUGAGAGAAGGGAACAUUGGAUUGCAGUUCAAUUUGUAGCUACAGGAUAUGCUGCAUUAGUUGUUUUUCUUCAUCAGGUGCUGAAUUUACUCUGGGAAAUUGACAGUGAGCUGCUUUUGGAAUAUUCCAUUCGUAAGCAGUUACCUUUAUUUUGACCAGGCGUCUAUUAUACAGACAUGCAUUUAUUUACUUAUUAAUUUAUUUUGGUGCCGGGGAUUGAACUCAUGACCUCGAGCUUGCAAGGCAGACGCUUAUGCCGCUGAGCUAAAUCCUGGGCCCUAUAUAAGCUUUUAAACCUAUCUCUUGUUUUUCAUAAUAAAAGCUACUUCUCUGUUUACCUUUUUUGUUGUUUUUGAAACAGAGUCUUACUAUAUAGUCAGAGCUGUCCUUGAACUUCUAUUGUUUCUGCUUCAGAAUCCCAUGUCAUAGGAUUACUGGUUUUCUAUUUAAUCGUAUAGUUUUCAUCUUUUUUUAAAAAAAAAAAAUCUUUCCAGUAAGUCUAUUUAAAGAUGUUACUGGUUUGUUUUGAUAUUUAUUUAUUUAUUGUUGAAACAGGGAUUAGCUAUGUAGUUCAGACUGGCCUUGUGCUCACUAUCGAACCUAGCUAGCCUCCAACUCAUGGUGAUCCUCCUGCCUCAGCCUCUCAAGUGCUGGGACUGCAUGUGUCUGCCACUAUGCUUAGCUUUGUUUUAUUCUUUGUAAAAAAGAAUUGGACCAUAAUAUGGAGAUAUGAAGUAUUACUAAAUAGUGUAGGCAUUCCUAAAAAUAAGUUUAAGGUAGGAAAAGAGCCUUCCUUGGAAAAAUGAGUCAGAUCUUUUAGGAAAGGCUUUAUGGGAAAAGCUAAUUUUUUUUUUGAGGCCAGGCCUCACUGUGUAGUUCAGGCUUGGCUUGAGCUCACUUUGUAGACCAGGCUGGUCUCAAACUCGCAAAGAUGUGUCUGCCUUAGCCUCCUGAGUAUUGGGAUCGUAGACCAUGCAGCAUUAUGCCUGGCUGGAAGAAGCUAAAUGUUACAAAGACAGAGGUGGACACCUACAAGUAGGAGGUGAGCAGUCGCAGGGCUUGAUGAAAAGAUCCAGGGAUGUGAACAGUCAUUAUAAGUAGCUGUGUAAUUAAUUGUACUAGAGUGUAUCCUUUGUGACCAAGGUUGUGUGAGAUGCUGUAAGGUGAACAGGCUGAGCUUUUGGCGUUUUCUACUGUUGGGGACUCUCUGCAGGUCUGAUGUUUUUCCAGAUAGGCAGUUUCUCAUCCAUUAACCAAAGAAGGCUCUUGGGAAAGAAUUUCUCCACAGAGAUUGUUGAAACCUGAUCAAUGGCCGGUGCCAUUGAUAGGGAAAAUGAACAGAGUAGUGACAUGUUACAAGAGAAGGCUUAAGAUAGUAUUUUGAAAUGCAUAUACUUUCUCAGAUAAUGUGCUGUGUUUGAAGAAGUAAAAUGCUGUAAAAUCACCAUCACAAAUUGGGAUUUGCUUCUGUCUUUGCUUUGGUCUUCUAAUUGAAAAAAUGCCUAUAAUUUGUUUUGAAGUUUGUGUGAAAAGGUACAUGAAUGCUUUUAGGAUAUAGUUCAUAGUUUACCUAGGAAUUACAGUGCUUCUAGCAGAAGUUCAGAAAUAAUGUGGCUACAAUAGAAAGUAAGUAUGCAGGCAGAGAAGGGCAGGCUGAAUAUCUGCUCAUUUUGGUGUUCGUCCUGAAGUGCUGCUCCUAUGUCACAUGAAGGCUUCAUGUAGAAGGGAAAGAAAGAGAAUGAGGUGGCAUCUUCUGUACAAUCAUCAUUUUUCUCCUUUUCCUUCUUAGUUAUACUAAGAACUCAAGGCCUUUGCAUUAGCUACAUCCCCAGCCUAUUCAUUCAUUUAUUUAGAAAGUGUCUUGCCAAGUCACUGAGUUGCUCAAGCUGGCCUUGGAACUUGAGAUCCUCUUGUCUCAGCCUCCCAGAGUGCUGGAUUACAAGUAGACUCCAUGAUGCCUGGCUUGCACACCUAUCAUUUUAGAAACUUUUCUGCAUAUCUUUCCCUACAAAUUGUGCCGAUAAUCUUGGGUGAGAAAUGAUAGCUGACUAACCUGAACUGCAAUAGAAGGUGGGAAAUAUGGCUUCUUGAUUGCCCUAAAAAUUUUGUUUUGUACCAGGAAUCAAACAAUGAAAGCAAUACAGGACUUUUAAACAGGAUAAUAGGAAAUCAACAGUGGCUAUCAUAAUGCCUCUUGUUAUCUUCAAAAUUGCUGUCCAUACCAUCAGACAUAAUAAAAUCAAACAGAACAUCAAAUAAAACAGGACUAAACAAAAUAGAACAAUGUUGGAUUUCAAAAGCAAAAGAAGGAAAUACCCCAUAGUUGCUAUAUUGUAUAUUGUUAUCCUCUUAAUAGAUGUUCAGACUAGCAGCCUUAGGCAUUUUGUAUUUUCAGAUUAGGGUGGCUCAACUUGUUUUGAAAUUUUUUGAUUAAGAAAGUCAGAGUUUUUUUAUACUGUAUAUUAAUGUAUAAAUUCUAGUCACACAAAAAAUUGUUUCAACUUUUCAAUAGUAAGAGAGGGGUGCUUUAAGUUCUGAGUAAUAUUUCAGAACCAAAUCUUAUGUUGAUAGAAUUCACCGGUUAAAACACAGUAGUAGGCUGCAUUGUAGAUCUUUUUCAUUUAGUUACCAUGUUUGUUUGAGACAGUCUUGCUUUGUAGUUCAGGCUGGCCUUGAACUCAUGCCAAUCUUCUUGCCUCAUUCUCCCAAGUGCUAGGAUUACAGGUGUAUGCCACCAUGGCCAGCAGUUGCCUCAUUUUUAUGGUAAAACCAAACUUAGGGAAGCAGGGAAAGCCACCUGCAGUAUUACAUGACUGUAAUCUCAGCUGCUUGAAAGGUAGAAGCAGGAAGAUCACAAGUUUGAGGCCAACCUGGGCAACUUAAGCUGUCAAAAAAGCCCCCCCAAAACAAAAGAAAAGCUGAGCAUGCAACACAGUUGCAGACUCACUUGGCAUCAGUAAGGCUUACUUGCCUUACUGGGUUCUGUGGGUUCAAUCACCAGCGCUGGAAAGGAAAAAAAAAGAUAAUUCAGAUUGAAUUGCAUAAUGAUUUUACUAAAUUACCUGCUGAAAAAAUACUGAGUAGAAAGUUUUUUUCCAGUUCACUGUGAAAAACCCCAGAUACUCCAUAAAUACGGAAAAAAUAGAAUAAUGUAUACCUAUAUCCCUUCUCACCGCGUGGACUCAAUGUUUUUGCUAUAUUUGCUUUAUUAUGUAUAUUUUCAGUUGAAUCAUUUGAGUAAGUUGAAAUAUCAUGACAUUUGAACCUAGUUACUUUAAAGUGCAUCUCCAAGAGUAAAAACUUUUCCUAUAUAAUCACAGUACCUACCAUUAUCACACCAACAAGUAGUAAUUCCAUUUAUGUCAUGAAACAUUCCUACAGGAAAUGUCCAAAUGGUGAUAUUUUUAGUAUAGUUAUUUUCACAGGAAGAAACACAUUCUUACUCCUUAAACAAUCUAGCAUGAGGCUAAAAAGAAAAAACACAAAAAAUUGCUUUAAAAUCCUUGGUAUCCUAGUGGGAAAAAGUUUUCAUACAUUCUAAUAUGUAGUCAGCUUUUAUAUCACAGUUUAAGGUUGUAGUUAUAGUUGCAUUUUUUUUUAAACUAGCAAUUUCUGUGGGAUGUACUUGAAGUGGACCUAUAUUGAGUUGAUUCAUUUUUAAAGCAGAGUAACCAAAAGGAGCCCAGGUGGAUAUUUGUUACAGGUAAGUUUAUUUUACUCCAACUAUAGAGAUAGGAUAAAAUUAUAGUAAAAUAUAAAUUGUAUUUGGAAUAGUUUGAUUGUGUUAACUGCAUGAUGAGGAAAGAAUCCUUUUGCUUUGUACCCAUAUUAAAAUCUUAACGAGCUAGGCUUGGUGGCAAAUCCCACCUGUAAUCCCAGCACUUGGGAGGCUGAGGCAAGAGUGAGUUUGAGGCCAGCAAUGAGUAGUCAGGUAUAGAGAUCAAAGCUAUCCUGAACUAUGUAGCAAUAACAUGUCUCAAAAAAGGGAAACAAAAAUAUUGUGAAGUAGAUGUCAAUUUUUCUGCCUAUAAAAAAUGUGGAAUGGUGAGUAAAAUUGGAACCUUAAGAUUAAAGACCGGAGACAGUCUUUAAUAGAAAAAUGCUACUUGCCACAGAGGGUUAUCAUACUAUAGGUGAAAUUGUGAUGUCUGGUGGUUAGCACAGAAUCUGAUACAUGAGUACUUCAGGAUUGGCUUUAAAACAAAAAAAGAAACUGUGUGGAAUAUAUGUUGAUUUGGAACUAUUAAUACCACAAUCUUUUGCCAUAAUGGGGACUGAACCUGGCCUUGCACAUGCACACUAAGCAAUACCCCUAGCCUUUAUUAUUUGUUUUGGUUUGGGUUUUUUGGGGCACCAGGGAUCAAACUUGCAACCUUCUGCUUGCCAGGCAGGUGCUAAUGUCGCUGAGCCAAAUCCUCUGCCGUAUUAUUUGUUAUUUUGAGAUAGGAUCAGAAGUGCCCAGGCUCAUCUUGUGAUUCUUGCUUCAGUCUCUUGAGUGACUGGGUUAUGGGUAUGUACCAUUAUGCCCAGUAUAAUUGCCAGAACACGUUAAUGGUUACUGUCCACCCCUAAUAAUACAUAUGGUCAUUUGACAAUAGUGAACUAGGCGAAUUUAAAGCAGAUUGAUUUUAUGUGACCUUUGUACAGCAUUUUUUGUUUUGUUUUUUGUUUUUUGUCUUUUUCCUUUUUAUUGGUACCAGGGAUUGAACUCACGACUGCCUGCUUGCAAGGCAGGCGCUUAAGCCGCCGAGCUAAAUCCCCAGCCCCAUCCCCAGCAUUUUUGAAAUGGAGUCUCCUUAAGUUACCAAGUUACCCAGGCUGAGUUCGACCUUGUAAUUCUGAGUGCUGGAAUUAUAAAUGUGUGCCACCUGGCUUGGAAUUGCUAGUCUUAAUAGAACAUAUUUUCAACUUGACUAGAGAAGAAAAAAAAAUCACCCUUGAAACUGGUUGAAAUUUACAAUGAUGUGAACAACACAUGAGUCUGUUAGGCCAACACUUGUCGACUUUUCCAGUAUUUACCCAUCUGCUGGAUAUAAAAUGGUAUCCUAAUGUUUUGUGUUCUAAUCAAAUUUUUUUUAGUGUCUUUUCUGUGUCAGACCCUUUGCAAGGCAGUAAAGAUGCCACCAAGAGGAGCAAGACAUGGCUUUUCUACUCUAGGAAACUUGCAUUCUAGGAGAGAUGGAUUUUGUCAAUCUAUGAAUGCCAAAGGGACCCAGAAGCAAAUGAUGUUCAUCUCACUUGAGGAAAUGGAGCUGUUGAGAAAGAUGAAGCCUGACUUUUGUUUUGAAAGAUGAGUCACAGGAGAUCUUCCCUUCUCGUUGACAACUUCUUGUCCUCCCCUCUGCAGUCCACCUAUGGUGCCGACUCCCAGGAGAGGGCUGGCACCUGGCUUUUCUCAUCAGCCCACACAGGGCACCAACUUUUUGUUUUAUUUUGCUUGGUUUUAUUCUCUUUAAAAUAAAAUUUAAAAAAAUUUUUUUUAAAAAGAUGAGUAAGCAUUUUGGAUUUGAAGGACAUUGUAGAAAGAGGAAGUAGGCAAAGAUGACAGUAAAACCACAUCAUUUAAGGUAUUUGAGUGUUAGUGACUAUGCAGAGCCCUGAGAUGGAUGAGGACGAGGCUAAGCAGAGAAGAGACUGUAGAGGUAGGCAGCUGCAGGGACCCAGAGAGAGGUGGUUAAAAGUUUUAAGUGAGAUACGACUAGGAGAGCAGGUUCACCCCCUCCCCCAGUUUAGAAAUGGAUUCUGGUAUUUAAAAUAAUGGACAAACAUGAAAUUUCAAUUCAAACUUGCUGACAUACUGCUAUUUAUUACUGCUUUUCUGAAACAGGUAGAUGGAAAUUAUUUUUCCUUUGAAUUGGGAGUUGGUAGUUUGCUACCUUAGUGGGAAGAUGGAAUGAACUGUGGCCUUGUACACAAUACAUUUGCACUCUCUCAUCCAUGUGCCUUAGUGUUAAGUGGGACAACAUAUGGUCUUCACAGUGUUUCCUUUUACCAUGUAGAAAUAGGUGUAGUUUUAUAAUAGGAGUGGUAAUUUUAAGAAUUUGUAUUUUUGGAUAAUCUUUGUAAAGAUAUUUUCAAUCUUUGUCUUAUUUUUGAAACAUCAUAGCAAAUACAAAUAUAGAACUUCCUUUUAUAAGCCAGAAUGCCUCUUAAUCAGUUCUGUGUGUGUGUGUAUAGAUGGUGAUAGCAAAUGUUCUUUGAAUUUCUUGCUGCUUUUGGUGUCCUUAAGCUGCUCCUCUUCUAUCCUCCUAUCUUCCUUCCCUUUUUCUUCUUCUUGUUUUUAAUCCAGGGCCUCUUGCCUACUAAGUAAGCACUAGACAGUACUUGCCUGCUAAAUAAGGACUAGACAGUACCACAGAGUUACAUGCCCACACAAAAGUUUUAUUUUGAGGCAGUCUCAUUAAGUUGCCUGGGCUGGCCUUGGACUUAGAUCUUCCUACCUCAGUUUUCCAAGUAGCUGGGUUACAGAUGUAUGCCACCACACCCAGCUAGUCCUUUUUAACAGGAGUGUUUGUGUUACUUCAAGGUAUGAAAGUUGAGGCCUAUCAGCACUUAAUUUAGUAGAAGCAGUUUUAGGAGACCCAAGCUGGAAAGAGUUGGGUUUUGGAAAUUUUUGGUGUUUUAAAAUCAAUGAGUGUUCUCAAGAGAUGCUGAGACAAAAGACAAAAACAAAACAAAACAAAACAAAAGCAAUGAGUAUUAAAUGUAUAGCACAGAGUAGUAAGCAUUUGUAAGUGUGCACGUGUUUGGCAUCAGCUCUUGGUAACAAGUGUCACACUUCUGUUGGUUUUAAGAAGUGUUUUUAAAGAUUUGUUGAUUGAGAUGCUGAGGCAACUGAGCAUUACAUUGUGUGUGUGUUGCUAAGGAUUGAUUCCUGGGCCUCUAGCAUGGUAGAUAAGCAAUCUACUACUGAACUAUGUAGCUCUACCUCUGGAGAAUCCUGGACAGGUAGAUUAGAUUUUUAGUCUUUCAGUUCAAGAUUGCAAUUGUCUUUUCUAGCUACUUGAUAUUUCCUUCAUAUCUCUAUAAAAGAGGCUUUUAUUAAUUUUAGACUUAAUCCAGGAAGACCUUUCACUGAGAAAGAACCUGUUUGGUAUUAAAAGAACUAGACAGAAGCUUGUCUUGCCCAACAUCCCUUUCUUAGCCCUUCUCAACCGCAUCCCCCCCACCGUGUUGACAUGGCCUCAUUCUUUUCUAUUACUUGUCCUCAACUCCAUCAUGCACAUACUUUUAUAUAAGUGCACAUACAUACAUACAUAUUAGGAGGAGGCGUACAGAUGUUAAUAAUGUAUGUCCUCAUGGUGAGGAAUGAAGUUUUUUUAAUUUAACUUCUGAUUUUAGCAAAUGUAUUCUUACUAAUACCUUGGCAGCAGAAGUUGGCUUGAUCAAUUGGAUCAAGGUGACUGUUGUAAAAUAAACAAAAGGAAACAGCACAAUGUUGAAUUUGUAGGCAACAUGUGAGACUAAGCAAAUGCGACUUUUGCAGGUGGUUUGGCCAUUAGCUGUGAGCAUGCUCAGAAUGCAUUUAGGCAAGCGGACAGGAUGUUCUAAAGUACUGUGUAACCUUGAAACAUUACUUCUACUUCUGUUUCCAGAAAUGAAAUCUAAAACAGAAAAGCUGUUUGCCUUCCUCUUCACUUGAAGAACAAAAGUAGAACUUGUAAAUCUGAACUAGUUAUUACAAAGUGCUAGAAUGAAUGUCUUUAGUUCUGGAUUUGGUUCUUUAAUGCAGAUUUUUAAAAAAAUUUAGUUAGACCUUUACUACAGACAAAAAAUAUUUUUUUUAAAGUGGGAAAAUAACACAACUACUCACUUGCACAUAUUCUAUUUUAAAUAGCUCAGAAAUGUAAAGCAAAUUUAAAGUCUAUAGAGACAGUCUUGAUUUUUUGAUAUCCCUUGAAUUGAGUGUGUUUAACGCCAGAGGACUUCUAUGUUAAGCCAGUUAUAAAGCCAAAAACUGCAUUCAUGGUAUUAGAGUCCUGGAAUGAGUGUAAUUAUCCACCUAUGAAAAACUGAAAUCAUUUGAAGAAAAAUUUACAGAUACAGGAAUAUGAGCCAUCUGAAAGUUUAAAAUGCAUCUGAAAGAUCUUCUGAGAGUCAUAGGGUUUUGUUUGUUUUACGUUUUUUUGUUGUUGUUGUUGUUGUUGUUUUGUUUUGUUUUUUGGAGAUGGAGUCUUACCAUAUUGUCCAGGCUGGCCUCAAACUCAUGGUGAUCCUCCUGCCUCAGCCUCUUGAGUACUGGGAUUACAGACAUGCACCACCAUGCCUGCCUAUGGAUUUUUUUCUUGUCUUGCUUUUAAUAAUUAAAUUUGAGAGGUAGGUAUGGUGGUGCAUGCCUAUAAUUGUAGCAUUCAGGAGGCUGAGACAGGAGGAUGGCAAGCUAGGUCAGCCUGGGCUGCCUAGAGACUGUCUCAAAAAAAAAAAAAAAAAAAAAGGAAAAAAUAAUUGAAAUUGAUGUGAAAAACAUUUUAGGUGGAUAGAUUUAGGAGGCUGGUAAAGGCAAAAAACAUUGAUCAAUUGAUUGAUGGAGUUUUGAGACAGGGUCUCCCUGUGUACCUCAGGCUAGCCUCAAACUGACUAUGUAGUUCAGGUUGGCCUUGAACUUGUGGUAAUCAGCCUGCAUGAGUUAGUCUCCCAAGUGCUAGGAUUACAGACAUGUACUGUGCCUGACUUAAGUUUUAAUUAUAGAUUGUCUUUGCAUCUUCUUUGGCUUGUUUACAUAUCCUGAAUUAAUGCUUGAAAGAAUGAUCUGUGGAAUUCAGCAGUUUAAUUGCUUUUAAGAUGGGAGUGGAUCUCAAAGGCAACUGCAUACUGGGAUGGUGGGAACAUUUUUUGCAAGACAGGCGUAAUUAGGGUCUGCACUGUAUAAGCAAGCCUGUUUGCUUGUGCUUUGGCCACACCUGUAGACAGGCUGUUUUACAAAGAGUUGUCUGCUAAAUGGAUGCCUUUCUGUCUCAGUGUUUCUUCCUGGUACUCUGAAAACUGUGGGGAUGAGGUGGGGGGAAUAGGGUGUUCUGUUCUGGAGGUUAAAGAUGUUGUUUGCCUGAACGCUCCAGUUGCAUUAUUUAGUAUGUAUUUUAAAAAUUGAAGCAGCAAAUGAAGCACCCUUCUCACCAUUUAACAAGAGCCAAAGUAGUGGCUCUCAUCUCUGGAAGUGUGCUUCUAGCACUCCUUCAAAGCCAUGUAAAUUGCUCUCACAGUCUCAGAGAAAGAUAGGGUUCCCCUAAAAACCAAAGUCUAGAGGGGUUGGAAAUUGUCAUUUGUAUAUGGCUUAAACUGAUAAAAUACUUCUUAAACUGCCUCCUCUGAGCCAGAUAGUAAUAACGUUAUUGAUAGAAGUAACAACUGACAUGGAGUGCAUACCAUGCUGAGCACUGCUUUCUUUUUUCUGUCUGACUGUCCUUUUCUCUCUCUCUCUUUUUUUGUACUCGUGAUUGAAUUCAUGCUUGCCAGGCAGGCGCUGAUGCCAUUGAGCUAAAUCCGCAGCUCCUUUUUUGUCUUUCUCAUUUUUUAUCGGUACCAGGGAUCGAACUCACGACCGCACACUUCCAAGGCAGGCACUUAUACCGCUGAGCUAAAUCCCCAGCCCCCCUUUUUUGUCUUUUUGAGACAGGAUCUUGCCAUGUAGUUCAAGCUGGCCUUGAACUCAGUUUGUAGCCCAGGCUAGUCUUGAACUGGUAACGAUCUUCCUGCCUCAGACUCCCAAGUGCUGGAAUUUACAAGCAUGAGCCACCACACCUGGCUUUUUCUUUCAUUCUUUUGUUGUUCUUCCAUUUUUCAUUUUUGUGUCAGGAAUCAAAUUCAUAACCUUUCAUUGCCAGGCAGACACUAUGCCACUAGGCCUGGCCCUGGCCUUGCUUUUUUUUUUUUUUUUAAGCAUGUUAGAUGUCUUCCCAAGUGAUAAUAGAUACUAUUUUCAUUGCUUUACAGAUGAGAAAUCUGAGUGUUGGGAUCCAGUCCUAUGUCAAUUAAAUUGUAGAGCUAAAAAAUAAACUCAGAAUGUUAGAUUCAGGAGCUUUGAUGCUGAACAACUGGUUGGUCAUUCCCCUGACUGGGUGAUAAGCAAAGUGACCAUAUUUCAUCCAAGGAGUGGGCUCAGAGAAAAUAAAUUACUGUCAUAAGUUGAAGCCAGAGUCAGUUUGAAGUGAGAGUUUAUUCUUUCUUCACUGUUAUUAUAUGACCCAUUAGAGUACAAUACUAUAAAAUCUGAUUUAUAGAGGUCUUUUUAUAUCUUGUGUGGGCUUCCAUGCAUUUAGGGGAGGGAGUUGCUUAUAACUUGAUUUGUGAGGUGAUGUUUUGCUCUCAGAGAUGUCAUGUACCUUGUGCUGAUUUUGUUAGCCAACCUGAUGGUGCAGUUGAUGGCUUUAUAGCAAUCUGGGUUGUAAGACUUGCACUGAGCUCCAGAGGAGAAAGAGGCGGGGAUCUGAGUUCUUGUUUUUAGAAUCUGUUCUUAGAGAUGUUACCUUCCUUUGAGUAGGUAACCUUAUGGGAUUAUAGUUAAUUAAUUGCAGAGCCUCUGAAGUCAGACCUCCUUCUACCACCCAUUCCGUUGAGGAUUUGAGGUAAGGCCCUUAACCUUUCUAAGUCUUAAUUUCCCCAUCUGUACAGAUGUCUUUUGGGUUAUUGUGGAACUUGCAUGAGACAAACUUGACAUUAAGUGCUCCUGAGUGUGUUUGGGAGACUGGUUGAUGUGCAGGAGACUGUGGUGACUAGUUUUCUUCUGUGUGUUCGCUUGUAAACAGUUUUCACAGAGAUGAAUGCUUUCUCAAUUGGACUUCAGCAUAAUACUCUGAAAUGGAUAUUUGGGAUUCUCUUUAUUUUGUAAUGACAUAUUACUAAGUAAAUUUUCAUGUGUAUUAUUAAAUUUGUAACAUUUUAUGUAAAUUUUAUUACCUUACCUUUAAUUGGAAAUAUACUUCAUGUUUUGGAAGAAAAUUAUUUUAAUACAUUCAUGAUGGGGCUGUAACUCAUGUAUCUCACUGCCAGGUGUUGAGCCACCAGUGAUACAUGCAUGAUUGUCCCCUCGGGUAACUUUUUAUUAGUAAAGAGACCAUAAAAGUUUUAGAUCUGUUUUACCACCAGUGGCAUAAGGCACCUGAGAGAGUCAGGCAGGAAAUGCAGCUAGUUUGAACUAGGAAAGCGUAUUCCAAUAAUAGACCCAUUACCAUAAUAGAAUGAAUGUUAGAAUUUUUUGUACAUUAUCAUGAUAAGUUGGUGUUAGGCCCAGGCAAACCACAUAAUAGCUAGAAAUCUUGAUUGAGAGACACAGUGAUUUCUAUCUUAUUCAUGGGCAUGUGUUAUUUAUUGAAACUAGUAAAACAUUAAGUUCUUACAACUUAUGCUUUUCUUGAUAACUCUACUGAUAAAAUUAUGUCCUUAUUUUCAGUUUGAAGAAAAUGUCAAGAAGCUCUUCAUUUAGUACCAUAUUCAGGCUAGACUUUGUAUAGGAAUAACACAUGGUGUGCUGGUGAAUAAUGAGCAACUUUCCUGAAAUGAAUAAUCAUCUCUGAUUUGUAGCAUUUGCUGAUUUCAGGGAUAAUAAAUACUCCACUAUGGCUGGUUUCAGUGUACCAAUGUUAAUGUCAUUGAACUUGAAGUUGGGAAUAUACAUAUAAUCAGUUGGCUUGAAUUAACCUCAGCUCUCAAGUGUUCAGGAUAUGUUCAGGAUUUUAUGCUCACUCGCUGUCUUUCUGUCUGUCUGUCUUUUGAUGCAGUCUUGCUUUAUUGCCCAGACUGGCCUCCAGUUUGUAAUCCGUCAGCCUGAGUAGCUAGAAAUACAAAGUAUGCCGUUUUGUCUGGCACAAGCCUAUAUCUUAAUAAUAAUUAGCUUUCUUUAGUCCUUUUUUUAAAAAAGUUGAUCUUAAUGAAGUACAAUUUACAUACAACAAAAUUAAGCAAUUUUGAGCAUAUACAUUUAAUGGCUUUUGACAAGUGUAUGCCCUACCUCAAUCAUGGUACUCAUCAUUCCUGUUUUUUUUUUUUUUUUGUCUUUUUCCUUUUUUAUCGGUACCAGGGAUCGAACUCACGACUACCUGCUUGCAAGGCAGGCGCUUAUGCCACUGAGCUAAAUCCCCAGCCCCUUCAUCAUUCCUUCUGUGUAUAGUUGCCAGAUUAACAUUUCUCAAAUUUUACUUUAUAGUCACAUACCUAUGCAUAAAACCUUCACUGGCAAUAUGCUGACCAUAAGACAAGGUACAGAACUCUAGGGCUGUGGAUACAGCUUAGUGGCAUGAGUGCCUACUUGGCAAACAAAAGGUCCUGAGUUCAGUUUCCAGUACCAAAAAAAAAGCCUCUGUCACCUGGGCUGCUUAACAUACCACUUCUUCUCUGACCUAAUCUACCUCAGUCUGUGCACAUAAAUUUCUUAUCCCAGUAAGAUGAAUCAUCUGGGUCCAGUGCAGGGUGGCCUGUUCCUCUAAUCCUAGCUAUUUGGGAUCACAGGCCAAAUUGGAGGCCAGCCUAGGCAAUUUUAGUUAGACCUCAUCUCAAAAUAAAAAGGACUGGGGGUAUAGCUCAGUGGUAGAAUGCUUUGCUUGGUAUGUGUAAAGCCCUGGUUUUAAUCUGCAGUUCUUCAAUGAUAAAACAAAAACUGAUCAGGUGGUUCCAAGGACAAGCCCUGCAUUUGUUUUUUGGUUUGUCUGUACCUUUCCUGCAGUAUUCCGGACACCUCCUGUUCUUUAUUUUUUCUUAUUCUGGGUCACGCUCACACUUAGUUUUCUAGUUUUUCAUUAGGAUGAGUACUUUCUAAUCUGACCACUCAUACUGCUUAUUUGUCACUAAAUUUUUCAGUUUGUAUUGAAAUCUCAGGGUUCUAUCCAUAUGAUCUUUGCCAACAAAGUUGUAAGCUAUAGUAGGAUAGGUAAUAAUGUUGUAUAACUCAGGUUUACAAUAAAUAGUUCUUGAUGGAAGUAAACCAUUAAGCAACUCUUCAAUCUCAGCGAGUUACAAACUCUGAUCCUGAGAGACUCCUACUAUGCUAUACACAUAGACCUCUCAAAGCCUGAAGAUGUAUCUAUUACAGAUUAUAAAUGUGUUGUAAUGUUUCUCCAAGCCAGUGUUAGUCAUUAAAAUGAACAUUACAGAUUUCUUCUCUGCCCUGAAAAGCCGUUUAGAAAUGGUUAGCAUAUGGAUUGUGGACUUUUGUGAGAAUCAAACAUUUAAAGUAAAGUUUUAAAAGAAAACUCAAAAAAACUCAAGCUUUUUUGUAUGUUUUGAUGUACUGGUAAGAAGUCAGGAAGGGGGUUCUAGUUGGUUUCCUUCCUGUCCCAGGAAACCAUAAUAUUCUGAAAAAUUUUUGCAUGUGUGCUUGUAUGUGUAUGUGUGUGUGUUUCAGUAACCUUAUGCAAACUCUUCCAUUUCAUCUUUUUUUUUUUUUUGAUGGGGUACCAGGAAUUGAGUUUAGGACCUCAUGCUUGCCAAGCAGGUGCUGCACUACUGAACUAAAUCUCUGGCCCUUUUCAUUUUAAAAUUUGUAUUUGCACCGUAUAUAAUGAUGCAUAUCUUUAAUUCCAGCAGUCAGGAGACUGAGGCAGGUGGAUCACUACUAGAGGCCACCCUGGGCUACAAAGUGAAUUCAAAGCCAGCCUGAAGUGCAUAGUAAAACCCUAUGUCAAAAAGACAAAACCAAAACCCAAAAACAAAACAAAAAGCUUUUAUUUUCUCUGUUUAAAAAAAAAAGUUGGCAGGGUACUUACUGAAAAUUGGCAUUGGUAAUCUAAAAAUCCUUAAUAAAUUCUAGAUAUUUAUCUCUAUUUCUCAGCCUACCUUCAGGUUCCUCUUUUUAUCUUUUAAUUCUCGGGUGUACAAAGGGUUCUUCAGUUGACCCUUAUCUCUUGUGGUUGACAUACUUUGCUUGAGCAGUUUCAUCUGGUGUACCCACGCAUUUGUUUCCACACUUGAAAUUCCAUGUGUCUUGAGUUCCACUCUUGGAUGAUCAAAUGCCUACUGGAAAUCUUCACUUAGCUGCUCUUCAGAAAUCAGAUGUAACAUAUCCUAAGUGUGAUAUCUCUCUGUAUUAUUAUUCACUUGUCAAAUACUAUCGCUGACUUGUCUCACUGUUCUCUCCCUUUGUGUCUGUCAGGUCCUCAGACAUUUUUAAGUCCUUUUCCCUCCCUGUGAGUUCAGGCUAACUUUGUCCUUUGUUAUCCUUAUCGCUUGCCCACCCUGGUAUUUAAAACAUGAACUAAGAGCUAGUUUACUUCCCUGACCUUAGAUUAACUAUGCCCAUAAAUCUCUAUGGUGACUGGAAAGCCAUUAUAAUUAUUGGUGAUUUGAGGGCCACUGUGUUCUUUUCCUGUGGGUGAACAUAGCUAGGAAUCUGUACCAUAACUAGAUGGUUGUUUGGGAAGGAACCAGAGCAGAAGCAAUGAGAUGAAGCAAGUGUAUACUGGCCUCACAUAGUCUGACUGAUGCUGUAAUCUCAUUGUGAUCAGCAGACUCCUGUCUAACAGAGGCAUCCCCUCCCCACAAUGACAUCAGCCGUCCCUGCCAGCCUCUUUAAUUCUUCUGUGGUUGAGUUGACCUUUUGUGUUACUUUACAUGUACUAAAUACAUUCAGUGAAGCUGUACUUGAAUCUUACUUUCUGACAACUUCUCUGUCGGAUGGUUUAUAUUCUUCUCUCCUGAGUUGUCGUGUGUUGCUCUCCAGUUGAGCACUGAGAAGCUGUCUUAUUUCACGUGUUAAGAGAAUACUUUACUAUCGGUGCCAUGUAAAGGAAGGAAGCCAAUUUCCCUGGUAUCACUACCUUUUCUUGUUUACCCACUAUUCUGAGUUAGGGAUAGGAAUACCUUCAUAAUGCCUCCCUGACACUUCUGAGUGAUCAUUCUCACUGUUUUGGGGGGGCGUUGUUUUGGAGACAAGGUCUCACUGUAUAGUCCAGGCUGGCCUUAAACUCACUAUGUAUCCUAGGUUGGGCUUGAACUCAUGGUGGUCCUCUUGCCCCAGUCACCUGAGCGCAGGGAUUAUAGGUAUGCACCAUCAUGGCCUGCCAUUUGUUUUUUUGUUGAGCACCCACUAUAGGCCAGAGACUGGGCUGAGUGUCAGGAGGAGAAUACAGAAGCUAGUUGUUUCUUCCACUUGGAACUUGAAUUUUGUUGGAGGUGAGAAUGUAAACAGAUAAAUACCGCUUAUGGCUGUGGAUGGUAGAGCCAUCUAUAAUCCCAGAACUCAGGAAGCUAAAGCAGUAGGAUUGCCAUUAGUUUGAGACCAGCCUGGCUAUGUAGCAAGAUCCUGUCUCAAAAACAAAAAACAAGGCCGGGGCUUUAGCUCAGUGAAGUAAACACCUGCGUGGCAAGCGCAAGGUCAUGAGUUCGAUCCCUGGUACCCCCCCCCCCAAUUUUAUUUUUUAUUUUUUUUGCUUGUGGCAAGACCAGGAGCAGACAGGCUGGUGGUAGAAUAACUGAGGAUAUAUAAAUAUAGAUGUAAUUUUAAAAAUUGGGAGAGUGUAUUUAAAUAUGUACUUUUAAGUGAUCAGAAUGAUAUAAGGAAGUGGCAUUUAAGACACACCAUAAAGAGCAGGAAGAAGUAAGCUAUCUGUAGAAACAGAGAAGUGAGCCUAGUCAGAAGAAAGCCUGCAGAGGCUCUGAGGAGAUAGAUAGCUUGCUGUGUUUCAGGCAGUGAAAGAUUACCAGUGAAGCUGGGAAGGCAGAAAAGGAGAAUGUGUCAUAUUGUGUCAGUGAUAUUGUUGGCCUAGUGAGUGAGAUUAGUGAUACAAUGAUUCACACAGAUUAAGAUUUCUUUGGAUCUAGUGCUUGAAGGAUUUGUGGGGGCUUUUUGUUUGUUUGGUGAUGGUUGGGAAUCAAGCACUCUGUUCCUGAGCUAUAUCCUCAGCCACUAAACUGGGAUUCUAAACGUUCACUUUACAUAUUCUUUUCUGGAACAUUAAUACAAAUGAUGAUGGAAAAUCUAGAAUUCCUUCUUGUGUGAAGUAUAUCAUAAAAUUUCAGACACUUCUCAGGGAGAGAAAUGUCUCCUUUUGGUGAAUUUCUAUCCCUAAUGAAUCUAUAAUAUAGCCAUAUUUUUAUAUUAUGUUGAGGAUUUUUACAUAGUCUGAUUGGCCGUUGUUAAACUUAGUUGGUCUGUUUUAAUGCACAACGGUUAAGAUAAGCACUACUAAUUUAAUACCACAUACUCAUCUGAAAAUCAGUUCAGGAUAAGCACUGAGUCAUUUCAUGCAUAAGUACGGUAUUGGAUUUGUUGUUUCAGAGUGUUAUUUCAAGUCCUGUCAGUACAAGGAUUCUCUCCUUUCCAGCUUUCAUGCUCACUCUUAUCUUUCAUGCAUCAGAUUAUUUGUGUACUACUGGGACUAAGGGAAUCGGAAGACAGAACCACAUUUGAGAACCAUUCACUAACAGUGAUCUUGGAAAGUGCUGUAACCUGGCAUUUUCUUAAUCUUUUUGUGUUUCUGUGGAGGAGGGUAUUGGAGAUAAAAUCCAGGACCUUACCAUACUAGACAAGCAUUGUAUCCAUUGAGUUCUAUUACCCCUCCCUCCGUUAUUUUGGACAAUGUGAUCAUUCCCAAUUUUGUCAGUGGGCCGAGAGAAGAGAAAGUGAGGCUUAGAGAAUAUUUCACUUGUCCGGGGCUGGUGCUUACCAGACUUUGAUGUGUAUGUGACCAAUGGGAGAGCUUGGUAGAAUGAAGAUUCUGAUUGAAUUAGUCUGCAGCUAGUUUCUGGAUUACUAACAAGGAUCAGUCUCCGCCUUCACCUAAGGUAGACAUAUGAAAUGAUAGAACUGGGCUUCAAACUUAAAUUUGCUCUAUUCCAGAGCCUUCACCCUAUCCUGUGGAAUCUCCUUGCACUCAACUAGUGGAACAGGCUUUUUGUGGAGUGAUCUAGUUAAUACUUUUUUUAGUAUAGUAAGAGUGUGAAGUUUUAUUUAUUUGUUCAGCAUUUACUUGGAACUUUUUGUGUUCUCACCCCCCCUCCCCCAUCUGAAAUCAAACCCAAGGCCUUGCCCAUGCUAGGUAAAUGCUUUACCACCAAGGUACACCCUCAGCUCUCAGUUAAUUCUUGACCCCCAUAUUUGGAAUUGAUGCCAGAGCCUUUACAUUGAGCAACAUCCUCACCUUGUUUUUAAAUUUAGCUUUUAGUUUUUAUUUUGAGACAGGUUUUUGCUGAGCUGCCAAGGCUGGGCUUGAAAUUGGGAUCCUUCUGUCCUAGCCUACUAGACUGCUGGGAUUAGAGGUGUGCACUGCUGUGCUUGACUGGAGUAACAAUUUGAGUUAAGAAUGGGUGCACCAGCAGGAAAUUUGGGUUACAUGCUCUUUGGGAACAAGUUACAGAUUUAUAACUCCCUCAUUAGUAGUUGCUACCAUUAAUAUAUCAGCUACCUAAGUAUAUUAAAGGUUAAAAAUUACUUUGUGCUGAAUACUUCUCAAGAUAGAAGAGAUGUAAUUGUAGCUUUGUAGUUUAGAAGCUAAUGUUGGUAAGACUAAUAAAUGUGCCUUGUUUAAAUCUGAGGAUCCUGUUCGUGAAGUAAUGAUGCUAAUCGUGAACACUGAGUCACCUUGCUCAACCCUGAGAUACAGUUACUGCUGCUCCCUUUGUACACUGAGGAUAUUAAGACACAAAGAAGCCAAACGACUUGCCCAAGUAAAUGAUUAAGGGUGAGAUUCAAACUCAUAAAUUCGUUCUCUGAUCAUUAGGAUUUAGGACUUAACAUAUUGUGAGGUCUUGAUUCUUGCAGGGGGAGGAGUACUUUUAGGGAAGGGAGUUCAGAAGCUGGAUGACUAUGAGACUGAGUACCACAUAUGUAGGCAGUUAGGUGUUGUGAGUUGCUAUUUUCUGUCAUUCUUCAACAUGUGGUUAUUUAGUACUGGAUUUUACAGUCUGGAUAAUGCUGCUGUUGAUUAUAUUGCUUCUGUUCUUUUAAACUGUUGUUACUGGUUCCUUUUCAGCAGCAAAAUGAAUUCUUAAUUGUAUUUGGGAGACUGCAGUCAGAUAUUUACCCUUGGGUGACUUCUGUUAACUAGUAUAUUCAUGGAUCAAUCUCCUUUGCCAUCCAGCCCGUGAAUACUGUUUAUUUGUUUGUUUGUUUUAAUGACAGGUGGUCUUGCUAUGUUGUAUUGGCUGGUCUUGAAAUAAUGUGUUCAGGCAAUCUUCCUGCUUCAGCCUCCUUAGUAACUGGGACUAUAGGCUUAUGCCAAUACACCAGAGAAUAUCUGUGUUGGUAUGUUUGUGACAGGGUCUCGAUAUGUAGUUCAGGCUGGCCUUAAACUUAUACUGAUCAUCUGGUGCCUCAGCUUCCCAAUUGCAGGGAUUACAGGUUGUGCCACCACCCCAGCAAUGUUUUUGAAGGAUUUAGACACAUGCAGUUCUUUUGUGAGAAAACUGAUUUUAUUUGCUAUAAUAGGAAAAGUAGUUAGGACUAAGGAGCUAUUUUAAAAUAUAAUAUACAUCUGAGAGAUACACUCAUCUCACAUCUUAUUUGUGGCAUAGAUUUAGAAAUAGAAAUACUUUUCAUUGUUGAGAUACAGAUAAGACAUUUUUGUCAUUUUAUAACAUGAUGCCAUGUCAAACUAAUUAUUGUUUUUAGCUUUUUCUGCAUAAAAUCUGGAGACAACCUACUUCAGUGAGAUCUGAUUGGCCGGUUAUGUCUUUGAGAGUGUUAACGAAAGGUGCUUCAUCUCUCUGUGAUUUUGAACAUGGCCCCUGGCCACAUGCAGGGUUUGUAUUAGAGAAAAAGGACAGUGAGUAGAGUAGAUUCUUGCGAAAUGAAUUACCUGUUGUUUUCCCCUUAGGUGACUUCAUCAGUAUUGGAAUUGCAUUGGCAAACAGUUUGAAAAAGAGCACUGGGCAAUUUGAGGUGCACAUGGCAGUGAGGCGAGUGGAUAGUGUUUCAAGUUUGACUUUGUUUCACUUGAGAAGCUUUAAUUACCAAUGUUGGUGAAAGCAUGAGGAAACAGGUCUGCUUAUGUGAUGGUAGUUGAAAAGUAACCGGAUGGAGAUACCCUUUUUGGGGACACUUAGGCUCUGUCUACUAAAAUUAGGUAACAUCUCUUUGGGUCUGAAGUUUUACUCCUAUCCAGGCAUGGGGUUGUGGCCUCUAAUUCUAGUGAGUUGGGUGAGGCAGGAGGCUUACAAGUUUGAGCCUAUCCUGGACAAUUUAGGGAGACUUUGUCUCAAAAUAAAAAGGACUAGGGGAUAUAGGUUAGUGGUAGGGUACCCUUGAGUUUGACUUCAGCACUGCAAAUAACCCUAUUCCACUUGUAGAAAUUGCAAACAGAUGAAGAAAAAUACCCGUAUACUGUGUGACAUUGUGAUGGGGUAGGGUAGCUACACAGUUGACAAUUGUCACUAAUGCAUGCUUAGUUUUUUUUUUUUUCCUGCAGUUUCUAUUUAAAUGCAUGCUUAGUUAAAUUAUGGUAAUUCAUUAUUAUGCAGACAUUAAGAGGAGGCUUAAAUCUUUAUGUACUCAUAAAAAAUAUCCUUCAUAUAUUGCACAGACAAAGACAUAUGGGAAACAGUACACAACUGUGUGUGAUGUGGUGCCAUGAAGAUGUGUAAAAUUCCUUAGCAGUUGGAGUGUCGGGCAGUGGGAGUGCAGGGACUAUAGGAUUAGGUGAUAGGAAGGCUGCUUUAAACUCCACUUACUUUAAAAUACAGUAAGAAAAGGCCCAAAGCUCAAUCUUUGUGUUGGAAGGCAUUUUCCUGCAUUUUUUAAAGGGGACCCUCUUCUGUACUCUUGCCUCUUGAUUGCAUGCCAGUGUAUCUCAAUCUUUGUCUGCAAAGGACUCUGUCACUUCUGCUUGUCCCCAGGAUGUAAAGAUGAGAGCGAAACCCAGUAGUUUUGUUAUCUUUUCAGUGCCUUCCUGCUUUCCUUCCAUCCACAUUUUCAUUUGUCUAGGUUUAUUUUCUCCCUUUUGUUAAAAACUUGGAUUUUUUUGGGGUAUUAUUCAAUUAUUUAGGAAGCACUCAUUGUGAGAAGUGUGGUUUUUAAUUUCCUUCCUGUAUCUCGUAGCAAUCCAGCUUUUCUUUUCUUUUUUUUUUUUUUUUUUUGUCUUUUUGCUUUUUAUCGGUACGGGGAUCGAACUCAUGACUGCCUGCUUGCAAGGUAGGCGCUUAUGCCACUGAGCUAAAUCCCCAGCCCACAUUUUCUUAAUAUUUGUAUAUAGGUAAUCUUGGAGCUUCUGUUUAAUUUAAAUUAUUAGGUUAAUAUCUAUAAAACUUAUCAUUUCCAUGUCUUAUAAUUGUACCUACCAGCCUGCAUCUUACUUUGUGUUAAUCAUUUCUGCUGGUCUUCAACUAGCAGUCCUUGUAGCAGGGCAAACUAGCUCCUCCCUGUUCUCUAUCACCUGUUCCUUGUAUGAGGUGGUAAAUAGAUCUGACACACUUGAGGUUGAAUCACAUUGCAACCUUUCACUUCACUGCUCAACUUUGCAGGGUUUUCUGCUUAUUUUCUUUUGUUACUUGAUUUUAUUGUUUGUUUGUUGGUAUGUAUGUAUGUAUGUAUGUAUGUAUGUAUGUAUUUUGAGACAGGGUCUCACUAUAUAGUUAAGGCUGGCCUUAAACUCACUGUGUAAUCCAGGUUCUCCUCAAACUUGCAGUGAUUCUUCUGUCUUAGCCUCCCAAGUGGUGGAAUCACAAUAUGCACCACCAUGUAUAAUAUUUUAUUUUAUUUUUGGUACCAGGGAUCGAACUCGUGACCUAGUGCUUGCUAGGCAGGCACUAAUGCCGCUGAACUAAAUCCCCAGCCCCAUGUAUAAUGUUUUAGCCACUUAAUAUUUGAUACCCACUGUCUCUAAUGAACAUGGAGUAGUAAAGGGAUCUGCAGGUUUUGAUCAUUUAUGUUCUGGAAAAGAACAGGAAGUGAUGAGGCCUUGUGAUUAGAGCUUUAGGGCAGUGUUUUCUAACUUGUCUAUAGGGACAAGAUAGUUAACUUGUCUCUACUAAUUGUAUGUGUGCUGUUUCUUUUUCCUCUGAACUUGUAGGCUUUUAUUUUUUAGGUUUAAAGACCUUGCUUUAAGAAAUUUUCCUUGAGAUUAUUUAAGUCAUGAAAUUAAGAUGGAACUUCUUUCUGAUCUCUAGAGACCCAACCUAGUAAUUAACCAGGAUAGGGAAGGAAAGGAAGAAGAUCCACAGAGUUACGGGCUUGUCUCUUCCAGUAAAUAGCUCCAACACUUCAUGGUAUGUUAAAUGUUCUAUAAGAUGAAGGGGUUGGCAGCAUAUGUAAGAUGUCUUUGUUCAUUUUCUGUGAUUCAUUGUUCAAACUUUGGUAAUCUUUUAUCUGCUAAAUGAGUACCAAUGCUUAUCUUUAUUUUUAACUACUGUUUUGCAGAUGUAGGGUACUAUAUAUGUCACUGUGGAGGGAAAUAUUUUCUGAAGAUCACUGCUUAUUAUGAAUGAUUUAAAAGGAUUUUCAAACACUUAGUUUCAUUCUAUUUUCAUUGGUAGAAUUGAAAUUGCAGUAUACUCCUUAAGUGUUAGCGUAAAAACCUUCCUAUUCUUGUUCCUAAGACUAUUGUGAUUUACAGACUGCUAGUUGGUAAAAGGGGGAAAAAAAGAAGUUAUGUUUUUAAAGAUUUUUCAGGGCAGACAUGGUGAUGCAUGCUGGUAAUCCCAGCACUCGGGCGGCUGAGGCAGAAGGAUCAUUGCAAGUUUUAAGACCAGCCUGUGCUACAAAGUGAGCUCAAGGCCAACCUGAACUGUGUAAUGAGACCCUGUCUCAAAAAGGCGGGGUGGGGUGGGUUUUUUAGGGGACAAGAACAUUGAAAAUACAAAUACCAAAUAUACUAGAUAAAUAUUCUAUCAAGCAGUAUUAUAAUACUAUUGUGAAGCUGCUUCAUGAUGAGCUUUGUCCAUUAGCACUAUGGCCGAUACAUCAGAGAAGCAUACAACUAUCAAGUAGGAUAUUUUAAAAUGGAUAUUUCCAUAAGGGUUUUGCAGAGGGCUACCCAUUUAUUUGCUGAUUUCUGUAGCAUUUAUGGUGAAAUCAUGUUUAUAUAUUGUCUGUGAACUGGAAGUUUUCAAGCUUAGUUGCUGUUGUCAUCCUUAUGAGUGGAAUGUUUGUUUUUCUUCUCUUCUGUCUUAAAGUCGUGUGGUUAGGUAGAUUGUACUUUGGAGUAACAGACUUCCCUCUUCUCUGCUGCUCAGGUGUUUUUUUUUUUUUUUUAUCCUUUUAGGACACUUUUUUUUCCUCUCUUUAUUACAACAAAAUUUAUACAUUUUGGGUUUUAUUGCUCCCAUAGAUCUUAUUACUUUUUUUGUAAGAGAAUAAAAUCAAACAUGAUAAAACAAACCUGUCAGUCAAAACCAAGGGUAGACAUAGCACAUGAUGUAAAAACAGAGUACAAAGUUAUCAACAGUGGUUACCAUAAUGCCUCUUGCUUCCUUAAGAAGAAUUGUCUAUCUCAUUAGGUAUUAUAAAGUUGAACAAAACAGUAGAAAACAAGUCUAAUAAAACCUAAACAUUGUCAACCUUACAGAACUUCAAAAGAGGAUAAUGUCAAACCAGAAUCGGCAUCAAGUGAAUCUUACUGCCUUCAAAGUAGUUGCCUAUACUCUGAUACUUAAUACUAUCAUACAGAGCAGAACAGAGUCUAAUCAGUCAAAACAAGAUAGUGGGAGUAUUACAGGACUUCAAAUCAUGUUAAUAGGAAAUCAAAAAAGUUACUAUAUCAGGUGGUUUUAUUUACCUCUACACUAAAGAUUCACAAAUCUGGAUUUCUGCUAGUGUCUCCCUUUCUUUCAGUAGCUGCUAUCUGACAGGCAACAGAGGCUGCAUGACAAUUCUGGCAACAUGUCACGUGGAACAUGUGCACAAUAUAGCAGAUGCAGAGCUCAUUAUUCUGGGGCUGGGGAUUUAGCUCAGUGGCAUAAGCGCCUGCCUUGCAAGCAGGCAGUCGUGAGUUCGAUCUCUGGUACCGAUAAAAAGGAAAAGGAAAAAGACAAAAAAAAAAAAAAAAAAAAGAGUUAAUUAUUCUGCCUCCAGGUAUAAAUAAUCAGUAAAGAUUUGUGUUGUCUAAGAAAGGUUUUUGUCGAUGUUCUCUUUUUGCUGUACUAGGGAUUGACCCCAGAGAGUGCUAAGCUACAUCCCCAGCUCUUUUUACUUAUUUUGGGAAAAGGUCUUAUUAAGUUGCCUAGGCUGGUCUUGAAUUUGGAAACCUUCUGCCUCAAUAUCCUAUGUAGCAAGCUGGGCAUGGUGGCACACUCCUGUAAUCCCAGUACUUGGGAGGCUGAGGCAGGAGGACUGAUGGAAGUUUGAGACUAGCCUGGGCUACAAAGUGAGCCCAGGGCUAGCAAGAAAAACAAGAACAAAAAAACCGCACAAGUUUCAAUGAAGUACCAGAUGUCCUGUCAUAAAAGUUUUUCUAAAUACUUCUAUUAGAUCAUUUGUUUAGAAUUUCAUCGUGAACUUGUUAAUGUUUCAUGUCUUGAGAUUCUUGCAGGUCUUUUCUUUUAGGGGGUCUAUUCUGUACAGAGUUUAGUUGUAUUCUGAGUUUUCAAAUUUUAAACCAUAGGCCUGACUAUCUACCACUUUUGGGGUUUUUGAUAGUGAAAACCAUGCUGAUAACCUUGUGCUUGUGAGGCAGGUACUGUGCUGCUGAGCUAUAACACCAGCCUGUUUACUUCUUUGACAGUGAGUAUAAGCUUUCCACAGAAGCAAGGUAGAGUCAAAUAUGUACAACCUUCUUUUCUACAAUAUUUUACAAAGCCAGGCGUGGUGGCACAUGCCUGUAUUCCCAGCAGUUGGAAGGCUGAGGCAGGAGGAUUGCUGUGAGUUUGAGGUCAGCGUCAACUAUAUAGCAAGACCCUGUCUCAAAAAAACCCCAAAAA
Cavia porcellus (domestic guinea pig) is the source of this 44516-nucleotide long non-coding RNA. RefSeq lists it as uncharacterized. The transcript is spliced from 2 exons. NCBI's taxonomy places the organism in Eukaryota, Metazoa, Chordata, Mammalia, Rodentia, Caviidae. The record is from RefSeq and is a predicted model, not a curated record.